UUUUUUAGAGAAAAUGCAAUUUCCCGACUUUAUAGAUAAAGCCAAAAGAGAUUCACAACACCGAUUACAACCAUUAAAGAAGUCUCACAAGUUGUCGAACAACCAACGACCAACAAAUCCCACAUGAACAAUUCAAAAACGACACAUAGGCCAACAACCAGGUACCAAAAGAAAACUAGUAAAUGAUGAUCGGAUGUCCACUAAGCUAGAGCUUGCACCCUUGGUGACAGCGAGUUCGAUGUAGCCCUGAAGGGAGAGCUGAGUAGGUCCGUGGUGUCGAUGCCGUAGCUCUUAACCAGGGGCCUCCACUACUGCAUUAGUGUAAUGGAUUGGAAAAUAACAUUAGCUGGUUUUGACGGGAACACAUGCUCGAUGGUAAACUUAUUACGAGUAGUCCAAAGAGCCCAACUGACAGCAGCAAACCCAAACUAUAAUUUGCAUCUCAAUGGGUCAGAUAAUGCACUAAAAAGCGGCAGUAAUUGAGCAAAAACCGGUCGGAGCCCAGCUAAUCCAGCCACGACCGAGUACAACUUCACAGGAGAAUGCCAAAGUCACAUGAAAACAUAAUAUGGUUAGAAUCUUCUUGCCUAGAGCAUAAAUAACAAGUAGAAUCAGCUUGAGCAUUAUGCUUCCUAAUUUGAUAAACAACAUGAAGCUUCCCAUGGAUGUCUUGCCAAAGAAAGUUCUUAAUUUUCAGUGGAACACGAGCCCUCCGGACACCCACGAACUUAGAAGAACAGGACCUAGCAAUAAGACUAUGGUAAAGCGAUUUGACCGAAAAAAUUCCGAGGGGGAAUGAGGCUAGACCACUGAGUCCAGAAUCUCCAAGAGUGCGAGGAAAGUGGCAUCAAGCUUAUGCCAUUGUUCCAACUCUACAGGAGAUAGGGAGCAGCUAAAGGCCAAAUUCCAACCAGAAUUAGUAAGAUCAAAGAUAGUAAUACCAAGAUUACCACAAAAAGAGAAAAUGACCAGGAAAGAAGAGCAAAGAUGGUGGCCCGUGCCACCAAUCAGGCCAAAAGUGACUGGAUUUCCCAUCUUUAAUAAUAAACUUCACAUAAGAUUAGCAAACAUCUUUGACCUUAUUCAAAGAUGCCAAAAUUGAGAUCCAUUAUCAGGUGAAGCCAGCAGAUCACUAGUGGAAGGAAAUAUUGUGCUUUAAGAAUAUCAAACCAAAAGGUCCUAGCGGAAGCAAGAAGAAUGCACCACCACUAUUUGACAAUUAUGGAAUAAUUCAUAAUCGACGUGUUAAUAAUGCCUAGGCCAUUGUGGCUUUUAGGCUGGCAAAUGAUUUUCCACUUGACUAACUGAUCCUUCUUUUUAUUGUCAGCCGAAUUCUAGCAGAAUCUGCUAUGAUGCUUAUAAAGACCAGUGUGGGUACCCUUAGAUAGCCUAUAAAAACCCAUAAAGAACAUAGGGAGAGAGGGAAGAGAAGAGUUUGUGAUGAAAACUUCUCCAGCAAUUGUAUUAUAUCUACCACAAUACGACAUAACCCUGUUCCCACCUUAAGAACAAUGGGGGCAAUGUCUUUUUUACACACUUUAGAAGAUGAGGGGGAGCGUGAGCAGAAACCUGUCCCUCAUCUCAAACAUUGAUCUGAAAGGCUGUACUUUUGGGGUAUACCUUGGUGAAACCACGCGGACCCAAUCUGGCGCACUACACCAUCAAACACGCCUUGUUACGCAUGAUCGAAGGAACAUCAUUUAACAAAACACAGUUAUCCACGAAGUUGCCAAAGCAUCGAUCAUCGUCCCAACCUUUUUGACAAAAAAUACAAGCUGGUUCAUUGGAAGCGUAAAACUAGUGCCCUUAGAUAACAUCUUUAAACUUUCCUGAGACUGGGAAAGCAAUCCCAAAUUCUGAUUGUGAAAUCUACUGUAACUAUAGUCCUAACCAUCCGGACCCCAUUCGCUUAGCUCAUCCGCAAUCGUCUGCAGGGUCACAUAGUAGAUUGGACCGAGAUGAUAGCAACGUAGGAUGUUUGAGGCGCAACCACAACCAUGUCCAAACCACCAUCCAAACCAAAAACGCACAACCUGGCAUCCCUAGUAUAUAUUGCUUAAUUGAAGGAGGUUUGGAGCGAUUAGUACAACCCACUGUGAGGUGGCCUUCGACACAGUAAAUCAGGCAGAAAAAGAAGAAACAUACAACGGGAUUCAGAGUGACCCGGCCUAUGACAUGCAAAGCAUGUGAGAGAAGGACGACACGAGCUAUUACCAGAGCCACCCACCGGUGGAGCAGAUCCAGAGAUUGGUAGGGCCGGGUGAGGAUUCCAUCACUAGAGCCAUCAGAAUUGUCAUUCGACCAAAAAUUACUAAACUUCUUUGGUCGAUUGUUAGGAGGCGUUGUGGAAGCCACCAAGGCGUGGUUUGGGACGGAACUGCCCUUGGAACCCAUAAACACUGGAAGGAGGAGCAAGCAGAGCAGCAUCAGCAGUCGACCGAGGAGCAUCAGCAUGGGGGAGGGGGGCACGGCGCCCGAUGCUGCCGCCUCCCAGUUAUCUAGGGCAGACGAAUCGGAGCCCGCCCAUUGAGAUGGGAUGGGGGAAGCAGAGGAGCGAGUUGCCGCCAUCUUUUCCUCUUGAUGUGCACACUACUCCUUAUACCACUCUUAUUCCCAAAACCAAACCACCGGUGUGCCCCACGCCUCCCGCUCCUUGGUAGCACGCUCGCGAGCCUCCUGCCCAUGCUGCAACUUAGCCCUCAAAUCAGCCUCAGGCGCCACGGAGUCCACAAGUGGCCUCACCAAAUCCAUCAAGUUCCCUCUUGCUGUUGGUGUUGCGGUCCCCCAACUAGCCCAUCUUCAGCACCUCGGCGAAGGAGCGGGUCAGAGGUAGGGGUGGAACGAUUCGGAUGGAGCGAGGAAGGAGGUGACCAAAUCUAAUCUUGCAAAUCUUAGCGUAGGAAACAGAAAACCCUAGGAUUAGGACGACACAACCUUGACGGGGCCACAUAUACCCACAACAUGGGCCAACAAGAUUAGGUGGGCCAACUGGCUGCUCGGGGCCACUCACGGGAGAAAUGAGUCGAAGCCCAAAAGGGAGAGGGGGAAAGAAUAGCCGAAGCGAUUUCCAACCCUUGGACAGGGCCACCACCCUGCGCAGAGCCCACCAAGCUCAUAGACGAGCCCACCAUCUCACAAGUCGAUGACCGGAUUAUGGUUCCGUCCCAUAAGUAGAAGAAGCAGAGACGAGCGCAAAAGGCAUCGCUGGCCCCCUAUCCCGCAUCGACAUUGCCAACGAGGUGAUACCCACACUAGGAUCCAACGAGAUGAAACACACAUGUGAUACCGGGUUAGAGCCAAGCAAACCAGGGGAAGGAGUAGGAUGAAGUAACCUACAAGCGCGGCGAGAUCUGGGCGUCACAACCACCCAACCUCGACCCCCCCCUCCCCCCCGAGACGAAGAGCUACGAGCACUGAGUGGCCACCAGGUACGAACUUGCAGAGUCAGACCCCAGCGCCCCCAGGUCACGCAGUGCCGUCGCACUGUCACCAUGGGAGAAGGCGAGGGGGAGCUACCAGCACUCAAAACAUCGUCGACAUCCAGAUCCAGUGCCUAGAAGUGAUUGGUGAGAGACCGCACUAGAGAACAGAGAGGGAGGGAGGGGACAGGGAGGGCGGAAGGAACCGGUGAAGAAGGGGAGGAGGACGAGCCACAUGGAGAUCCCGGAGUGGGAAGGCAGGGCAAACAAGAGAAGGGGAGGGGGCGGGUCACUGGAGAGGGGAAAGAGAGGGGCGUCGGGCGAGGGGGAGCAAGAGAGGGAGCCAUCCUCACACACCACAACUCCACGCUUGACCUCUCUCCUCUAUCUCUCACAUCUUCUUCUUCUCUCUCCCCCAUUUCUGCUCUCUCACAACCUCUAUCUCUACUGCUCACAUGCUGAGAGGGGAUGGCGCAUUCUCUCUCCUUACAUUUCACCUAUGUUCUUUCUCACACACACAGCCUAGUCCCAUUUCACCUUUGUUCUCCCUUCCUCACACACACACACACACAUCGUAGUCCCAUUUCAUCUCCUCUCUCUCUCUCUCUCUCUCAUUUUCUUGUACUUCUUCGCUUUCUCUCUCUCAACUCCCCAUGGCUGCUCUCUCACAGCCUCUCUCUCUCUGUUGCACACACGCCAUGAAGCAGGAAUCUUGCAUGGAGCGUCUGCUUGUGUUGUGUGGGGCAGCUCAUCACGUGAGAAUUGUGACAGAAGAUGCCAAAUAGGGGCUUGGUCAACGCCUGGUAGUCGCGGUGCUCCCAGCUGCAACGAUCAUGAUGUCAAAUAGACGGUCAUGAUAGCAGGUACCUUGGAGCUUGACCUACAAUUCAACUUUCCACAAGUUCCUCCUUCAUCUUCACUUUGGUGAGUACUUCGACGUCUCCAAGCUCCGCAAUUUUUGUUUUGCAUUUGUUAGGUUGCUCUUGUUUGCUGCCCAAUAAGUUGUUUCCUCGGCACUUUGUAUCUUUACUAUAGCCGUUUGUAAAUUAGUAAUUUAAAGUCGGACUCAACGAGCCUAUUGUCUAAAAUGUAUUUGUAUGCAUCACAUCAAAUUCUCGGGGUGAAUAUAUGAAUGAGUGCAUAUGUUAGAAAUUUGGUUCACUAAUUUCCCGCUGACUCCUACAUUACACUGCUUAUUACCUGCAAUCAAUAACCAUACCACUCCCCUAACAAAUAAUGGUGAAUUUACAUAUGUAAUAAAACCUGAAAUGAUAGGCAUACCUCAUAAAAAAUUCGUGUAGUUCAUCCUUGGUCAGUGGAUAGCCAUUAGAAAAUGUCACGAACAAAGUUCUCUCAUCAGGUGGAACAUCAGAUAGGCGUUGCGUGAUCUGCAGAGAAAUAUAUUAUUAUUUUCUCUUCAAGCUAUGAACUGCACUAGAUAUUUGGAUGAAACCUAUCAAGUCUUAUUGGAAUAUAAAUGAAUGAACAUGCAAAGAAUGAUCAGGGACGAUGAGUUACUGCAUCAUUAUGGUUCUCUCUUAAGCUCAACUUAUCCAGCAAUGUGACCAAAUGGCAGGUUGGCUGAUAAUCAUAUACUUCGUCCUCUGUAUCAUGGUGGAGCAUACGACUCGUUUGAGGAUGGAUAUUUCUUGAACUUGAGCCUUCUCCAUGACAUAUUUGACUUGUUUGAACACGGAUAUUUCUAGAACUUGUGCCUUCUCCAUGAUGCUUCGGAUUAUUAGAAUACAAAGCCUUGAUCUUGGUAAGAAGGUGUUUCUGCCUAUAGAUGAUUUUGGUGAAUCAGAAGGAGUAGAAAAUACUUCACAAAUUAUUAACAGAUCUUUCAUUACUCUCACCGAGCUAUUAGGAAUCUGUUCAUUGUGAUGAUUCUUCAUUGGCCUCUUGGUAUAGAUCUGUCAUCUGCAUAGAUGAUAAAGCAAAUCACAAAAGGGUAAAACCUUGUACUAGUAACAGAUCUGAUCUUGAAUAACUAAAUAUGAACACUUGUCUUACUGAGAUAUUAGGAAUUUGUUCAUGCGAUGAUUCUCCAUAGGCCUCUUGGUAUAGAUCCGUCAUCUGCAUAGAUGAUAAAGCAAAUCACAAAAGGAUAAAAUCUUCUACUACUAACAGAUCAGAUCUUGGAUAACUAAAUAUUAACCCCAGUCUUACCGAGCUUGCAGCAGGAACCCGAUCAGUCCUGGACUGUCCAUAGGCUUCUUGGCGCAGGUAUGUCAUCUGAUUACGGACAAAAUUCAUCUCUAUCCUUUCUCGAAGAUCUUCUAAGGCCUCAUAACAGAUAGUAUUGAGGUAGAGAGAAAUUCCUUCAAUAGCUUGGUUCUGAAAGUCACUUCUUGGUAUAGAUCUGGCCUCUGAACCACCGAACGCAAAAUGGAGAACUUCCAGAAAACGUUUUGCAGAAGAAACAAUUACGCGAAAAUGGUUGUCACCAAGAGAGUAUAUGUGCUGAAGGUAACCAACUUGGCCAUUCCCUUGUUGGAGCCACAACCAAAAGGCAAUUAUCUCCAUGGAAAGGGAAGACUCAACUUGAAGACCAAGGACCAAACGAAAGAACAACACUCGAAGUAUCAUAUAGGAAGAAUUUGAAGCAUUAUUCAGUGGAUCUGGUGCCAUGGAAGGUGUGGCAAGCAUACAGGAGUGUAUAGAAGAGUUGCUUGUUUUGAAUCAACAAAGACAUACGGGGAAGAAGAAGGUAGUAAGACUAAGGUAUGCGGGCUUGCUUAUCAUUUAAGUAAAUCUAGAAGGUUCAAGCGGAUGUUGAUUGACAAAUUAAUGCCUCCCAAAGUAUGAGUAGAGGAUAGGCAGAGGCGACAAAAAAAGCAAACUGUUGAUAGUCUAUACUCAUUAAUGGCAGCCCCAUUAUAGCCAUACUUGCCAAAUAACUGCUGAUUUUCUUUUUUUGCAUGGGUCACCUUUUUGGUAUUCUCUACUAUACAAAAUCACCAACUAUAUCACGAGACAUAUAAAAAAUAUAUGGAAAUAUUCAUUAUUUAAUGCUAUUUAAAGCGCUUCUAUGUAUAUAGUUACAUAUACAUAGAACUGAAAAAAGACGCAUGCAGUUUGCACUCUGUGAAAAGCUACCCACUUUAUGUUGGCAAAUAAUAUAUGAUCAUUAGUUACCUGAUCCCUGAGCUAAUGCCUCAUCUUUAGACUUUGUUGUUCCAUAAUUCCUUCUUCUCACAACCAUCAAUCCCAUCUAAUCGCCUAGAUGUUUUUCACCAUCUGCGAAGAUGGAGAAGACUAAUGGAAACACUCGCUGAUUAGCUGCACAAUGGCACGGUGUGUGUGUGCAUAUGUGCUUUAGCUCAUGAAGUGUUCAGUGAGCAUAUCUCGAGAAGUGCCGCUGGUGACCCACGGGAAUGGCUAAUGGAGCUCCAGGAUACCGUUAACUAGUGAAGAGUUUAUCACAAGGUGCUCAUUAUUUUAUGGGCGAUCUGAUCGGCCAGGUGUAAAGCAAUCCUCGAAUCAAAUUUUCAGUUGCCGUGUAAUAAUUAUGGGGUUUGCUAAUGGACUUAUCGGUGAGCUCAAGUUUCUAUCAAAGAAGAACAUAGUUUUAAAUAGCCGGCUAUAGCAAAGCUAUAGCCCGCUAUAGCCUUUUUAGCAGGGUGCCGCUAAAAGGCCAUUUUUAUAAAUAGCCUGCUUUAGCCCGCUAUAGCUGAUUUAGAGGCCCACCAUUAUUUUCCAUGGCUCGCUAUUUAAAACAUUGAAGAAGAGUGUAAAGGUAGGUAAUUCGCCAGUGAAAACAAAACCGCCGGCAGGUGGCAUCUGCAAACUUAAUGUUGAUGGAGCAAUGACGAAUUCAUCAAACAGGAGAUCAGCUAGUGCAAUUUGCAGAGCAGAGGAUGACUAGCAUCCACACUACCGGAAUCGGCCUGUUUGCCGAGUGCAUGCUCGUUCGCCGAGUGUCUUUUUUUCAGGCACUCGGCAAGCAAACCCUUUGCCUAGUUCUUGGGAAAAUACACUCGGUCAGCUCAUGGUUUGCCUAGUGUUACACUUGGCAAACAAAAAACACCGACAAAACAAUUCGUUUUUUUAUGUUUUCAUUAUAUUUAUUUAUUUAACUUUGUUUUUUGUAUUUUCAUUCUAUUAUUUCUUUCCUUCUCUAUAUUUUCAUUCUUUAAAUUAUUUCUUAUUUUUUUCUCUUUUAUUGUCUUUUCUUUUUUCCUUUGCAUAACAUUAAAAAAGUUGGGGAAAUUGUAUUCAAAAAUAUUAUUUAUAUUAAUGAAUCUACGUUUAAAUAUUAUAUCCAAGAAAAAAAAAGAGGAAUUCCAAAUAUCAGGGUGCCAAGACUCGACCCAAAACAUGAAACUUGUCGUUUUUUUUUAUUUUAAAAAAUGCAAGCGAAUUCUGAAAACAUAAACAUGGUGUCAUUAUAUGAUCCCUAGAGGUUGUGGUAAGAAAAUUUAGAAGGUUCCGUAAACUUUAUGAUGUACACUACUUAGAAACUGAAGCAUGUUCAAGUAAGAAUCAUGGUUUUGAGAAGGAGCAGGUUAGGUUUGAUUGUGAAGUGUCGGUUGCUUCAUUGUUUGACCUUGAAACUUUUUCUACCAUCAAUAUAUACCAUCACAUGUUCCAUGUCAAAAUUCGCCUUUCCUGUUCUUGUUUGCUAUAUUUAAGUCAUUACAUGCAUUUCUAGUCAUUUAAUUUGAUAGAUAUAACUCAAAUUCAGACUGCAAGUGUGUGAAAAAGUUAUAAAAAAUUGGUUAAAAAUUAUAUUUGUGUUAAUGAACUUAUGUUUAGGCCUUAUCAAAGAAAACGGCAGGAAUUCCAAACAUCCGGGGAAGCCAACUCGAUUUCAAACCUGGAUCUUGUUGGUUUUUAAUUUCAAAUAAUGCAAAUGAAGUGUGAGAAACAUGAAACUUGGCAUGGUGUUAUUACCUGACACUUGGAGGCUGUGGUAAAUAUGUUAGAAGGUUUCGCCAAAUUUCAUAUCUUUGCGAAAGAAUCGUGGUUCAGGAGAGAAUAUGUAAAGUUUUUGAAGGUAAUGAUCAUUUCUUUAUUGUUUGACCUAGAGUUUUUUUUCCUAUGCUCAACAUACACCAUUACAUGUUAAAAUUUGGCCUUUUUUUGGGUUCAUUUGCUAUAUUUAAUACAUUAAGCGCAUCUCUAGGAAUUUAAUACAUUGAGUGCAUUUCUAGGCCCUUUUCUUGCUGGUAUUUUCCGAAGGGGCCGAACCCCUUGCUUGGCAGAGUAUAUGCUAGUUUGUUUUGCCGAGUACCUGUUUUUUGACACUCGGCAAAGGCUUCGCCGAGUGCCCUAUGGAAAGAACUCGGCAAAGAGCACUUUGUUGGCGGGGUGUCUACUGAGUGCGGUUUGCCGACUGUAACACUCGGUGUAGACUUUGUCCGGUGUACUUAUCACUAGGAAAAUCACUCGAUUGACAAUAGACCGUAUCGUUGAGGUGAUGGCCUGCCGAGAGGACUAGGUCAUGCACUUGACCUGAACGUACGUGCACCUUCUUCAGGUCCCUUCAGAUUAUCUAUUGGUGGCAGAAGAUAUAAAUAAAGGAAGCAAAUGCGUAUAUAGAGCUAGCCUCUGGGAACACUCUUCACGAUGAGCUUUCUUUGAAAAAUUUUUGUUUAAAUUUGAGAGUAGAAAUUCAAAUAAGGUGGAAGAUAGGCUAGCAAAACUUGCAAUCUCUAUGUUGUUACCGAAAUACUUGGCUCUUGGAGCCACCUGAUGAUGCAUCUUCCUUUCCAAUAAAAAGGAAAAAAUAGAGGUUAACAUUUAACUGACUUCACAAAAUAACUACCAUAGAUGAAAAUAGGUUUCAAGGACCGAAUGUUAAUGUUGAUAUGACCAUUAUACAUACCAACAAUACGAAUUUGUAAUCCUUAACAAGUAGAAAUUUUAGUCCUCACAGUGGCAUACAUCGGAAGUUCAGAACAAUACCAAUAAAUAUAGGUCACAAAUGGGUAAUUAAGGUGCAGUAGGCACAAGAGUAAUCUUAGAAGUGCAGAUUAUAUUCGAGUACGCCUCCAGAAUGCUUGGCAUACAUAGAAUAUUCUUGAAUGUUUAUGCAAGGAGUAGGUCAUCACACUUCACUUUAUUUCUUCGUCUUGGGGACGAACUGUCGAGCCCGUAUAUGUUUUCCGCUGCUGGUCAUGAACUUGACUCUAAUGUUCCCAUCUAGAACGCGGAAGAGUGUCAACUGCGAGUAAAAUGUAACGUGUGCGUACAAAGGUAGCCUGUCUUCAAUUGGCACCUUUUUUUAGAAAAGGAGGAUGACCCCCGGCCUCUGCAUCUGGGAGAUACAUACAUCCACUUUAUUGAUUAUUCUCGAGGACCUUACAAAGUAUUACAACAAUGUGCCUGAAUCCACCAUCUUGUCAACAUAUGCCGCUACUCCUAUCCAAAAUGAUGAAGGGGUGCUAGCUGGGCCACUACCCAAACCACUCACCUAAGCCUAACAUCAAAAGCCGGAAGCCGAAACUCAUUCGGAAGCCCCAGCCGAGCCACAUACCGGGUCUGGGGCACAAUCCGGUCAGACGCACUCGUGUGUCGUCGCCGCCAUCUUCCACAGGUCUUCAGAUCAUAUUGAGGCUUCUAUCUUGUCUGGCCACUCUGCCAUCGACGUCACCAUGACGCCAGACAGCAACCUACUCCUACGCGAGCCCAUCUCCGCGCAUCGGACGCCGAGUCUCCACAGCGCCAUGCCAUCGAUCUCCGCCGCCAUCAAUAUGUGAGAUGAAACACCGCUCCACCAUCCCUCCAGCCAGCACUUGCUCCAAGACGAUGCCCCCAGAAGGGAAAGCGAUAGAACGCCAUCAUCAUCCGAUCCGGAAGACCCAGAUCUGGGGUUUCCCCCUGAGCAUCCCGAACUUAUUUCUUCAAUAUCUCCAUAGUGGCUGUGACAUGGAAGGAAUUAAUGCAACAUAAUUAGCAACUGCAUAUAUAGGGAAAACUAAUGCAAUGAAUUCUCCUCAUAUCAAUUUCUUCUUCCUUAUGAUAGUUUUCCUGUUUUUAUGUCAUAAUAUCUAACUGUCAAAUUUACCACUUUCUUUUUUGUGAAAGUCAAAUUAACCGCUUAAUUAACUAGUUAUAUAUCUACAUCUUUUUGCUUAUCACUUGCCAAGGCAUCAUCCAGACCUACUAAUUUGUCUGGCAAUGUUGAACAAUAUCUUGUUAAUUACCUCUAAAAGUUACCUCACUGGUCAUAUUCAAUCGAAACAGUCAUCUCAACAUUGUUUCACCGAUCAGACUAUAUAUCCUUUCAAAAAAAUCCGACUAUAUAUAUAUAUAUAUAUAUAUAUAUAUAUAUAUAUAUAUAUAUAUAUAUAUAUAUAUAUAUAUAUAUAUAUAUAUAUACGAGUAACAUAUAUAUAGUCUUCGUUAUAUGUAACAUGUUCCCAGUACAUUAGUAAAUUGGUAUAAUUACAACAAUAUAUGUUAGCCAUUUUCAGGGUUCAGUGAUAUACAAAAUAAUCUACUUCAACAUGUUGAUUCUUCCAGUAGCCUUUCAUCUAUAUAAAUAAAUUAGGGAUGCAGAAGCUUACAAAAUGCAUACUAAAAAACAUAUAACAUUUAUUUCUUGUCAAUUUUCCACUUACACACUCCCAAUCGAAACCUAUGUCCUCUAUAUCUAAGUAGUUGAUCAUCACUACUUCUAUUGAUCUCAACAUGCAUACAUGAAACCUCAUGAAAGGCCUACCUCAACAUGUCUAGGAAAAGUUUUCCAUUAUUACUUGAUCCCCAUUACUUCUAUUUAUCUCAAAAUACACAUAUAUAUUCUAACCACACAUGUCACCUUAUCAAAGAUCAACGACAACAUGCAUGUGAUUUUUUUCAUUUAUUAUGCUAUUACAUUCAAUAAAUAUUUUUUUAGCUAUAUUUGUAGUCAAAUAUAAUAUAUAUUAUGUGUUUUCAGUUUUAUUUCAUAUAUUAUUAAUCCAAAUAUUAAUGUUUCAUGCAACCAUUUUCAUUAAAAUAUAUUGCUUCUCACAGAAAUGCGUGGGGGUCAUCUUGUUAAUGUAAAUAACAAACAAACCGUCUCUGCUUCUCAAGUUGGACAUAAAAAAGCCUUUUCACUCUACGCAACAAGAAUAUUUAUUGGACCUUUUGCAGAAAAGAGAGUUCCCUUCGAGGUUUUGUGGCUAGUUGAUCGAUCUGUUGCGCAUGUCAUCCUCUUAUUUUCUUCUUAAUAACAUCUAGGGUAGCCUACACAAUACCGGAGAUGCCAUCGUUAGGGGAAGCCAUUUUCCCCAUUCUUGUUUGUCAUCACUAUUAAGCCGUUGUGGUAGGUUUUGGAUUUGGGGAUGGCUAACGGUUGCCUUCCAUGGAUUCAGAGGUUGGGUUGCAUGUCUUCACGCCUCCCUUUGUGCAGACCACGCUUCGGUUUUUGUGGUUGCUAUCAAAGAAGAUGUCAGUAACAUGUCAAGCGUUUUGCAAAGCAUUGGUAAGGUUACCGGUUUCAUUACCAGUGUGGAAAAAAUCUAUGUGUCCCCUUAUGCAUCGAUCUCAAUGAUAUUCUUCUUAAUUUCCUUCAUCAGCGCGUUGCUUGCGAAGUGUGUAGAAGAUCACAUGCAAGCUCAUUGACAAGUAUGGAAUGGUAAGGAGAAACACGUUGAUUUAAUUGGUCCUUAAUUCACAAGCCGACUACCCCUUACUCCCCUUGUCCUUAAGCAAUCAUGAAUACUAAAGUUAAGUUAAAGUGUGCUUUUUCGGGUCGGGUCCGAGAAGUAGUCCAGAGGGAAGUGUAAAAUCAAGUGGGAACUUGUCUGUGGCCGAUCAGUCAUGGACUGUCUAUAGGCAUUAUGGCGCAGAUAUGUCCUCUGAUUAUGGAUAAAAUCCAUCUCUAUUCUUUCUCGAAGAUCUUCCAAGGCCUCGUAACAGAUACCAUUGAGGUAGAAAGAAAUUCCUUCAACAGCUUCCUUCUUAAAGUCACUUCUUGGUAUAGAUCUGCUCGCUAAAUCAUCAAAUCCGAAAUGGAGAAGUUCCAGAAAACGUUUUGCAGAAGAAACAAGGGCACAAAAAUGGUUGUCACCAAAAGAGUAUAUGCGCCGAAGGAAAUCAACUUGGCCAUUCCCUUGGAGCCACAACCAAAAGGCAAUUAUCUCCAUGGAAAGGGAAGACUCAACUUGAAGACCAAAGACCAAACGGAAGAACAACUCUCGAAGAAGCAUAUAGUAAGAAUUUGAAGCAUUCACUAGAUCGGGUGCCAUGGAAGGUGUGGAAGGCAUACAGCAGGAUGAGUUGCUUCUUCUUUUUUUAAGGGGAGGAUAGAAGAGUAGCUAGUUUUGAAUCAACAGAUUCAUAUGAGGAAGAAGAAAGCAGGAAGAAGAAGGUAUGUCGGGUAUGCUUAUCAUUUAGGCAAAUGAAUAAAGGUUCAAACAAAGAUGCUAAGAGUUUAAUACCUCCCAAAAAGUAUGAGUGGAGGAUAGGCAGACGUGACAAAUAGAGCAAACUGUGGACAGCCUAUACUCAUUAAUGACGGUCCCAUUAUAGGCAUACUUGCCAAAUAACUGCUGAAAUAUUUGCAUGCGCCACCUUUAUGAUAAUAUCAUAUUACUAUACAAAACCAAGCGUAUCUGGAAACACGUAUAGAAUAGAAUUUAAAAAAUUGUAUAGAAAAUAUUUAUUAUUAAAUGAUAUUUAAAGGGUACCUUAUAAAAAAUCUACCCACUUUAUGUUGGCAAAUAAUAUAUUUUCAUUAGUUGUUUUUUUGGAAAGGAGCCAGAACGACCGUCAAAUUUCACCAAAAGUAGAAAGAAACUCAAACAUAAUAAAAAUUACAUCGACGUCCUUAGACCACUGAAUGACCACUGUGCUGCUAGAACGAGUCACCGAUGCACCGCUCCCCUCCCGGAGCUGACCUGAACUUGUCGAUGACGGUCGGGAAGUAUUCAUGCAUAUGUCCCUAAGGACCGGCGUCCUAGAGCCACAAUUGUCAUGGUUGAACCUUGGAUCAAUCUGAAGUGCCCCACACCAGAUCUCUCGCCAUCAAGCACGACCACAAGUAAUCCUAACCUUGUUGUUCCAAUGAGACGAUCGGAAUCUAGAUGGGAGUUCCAUCAACUCCACCCAAGGACAAACUUGAGGAGGAUCGAAGCCCGGAAGACCAGUUCAAAGAUGAAGUGUCGCCAUCCAACCAAGUGCCGCCAAUGCGAGGACUGAAAACACCUAACCUAAACUAUAGUUGGAGCCGAGGCACCGAGAUUCCCCUCCCAGCCACUGGUCACCGGGGCGACAGGUGGAGAGGAGGUGAAUCCACGGUCUCGCUUGCGGAGCCUGGAGGGGAUGAGUUCUUCGCCCUAGGCACCACUUUCACAAGAGGAGAAGGAAAAGACAUAGCCUCAUUGGUUCAUAUAACUUUUUUUAGCUAAUGCCUCAUAGUUAGAAUUGGUUGUUCCAGAAUCCCUUCUUCAUAAUCACAACCAUCGAUCCCAUCUAAUUGCCUAGAUAUAAAUUUUAAAUUUUCUCCUUAAAUUUCUACAAUUGUCAUAUGUAGUUCUCAGUUCACAUAUGUGUUCUUAUAUAUUUCAUACAACAAAAUUUUAGAAGUUCGUAAAAAAUUGAAACACGUGUGUGAACCCAGGGGAUAGAAACUAUUUGUGCAUAUUCAACACGUGCAUGAUAUAUAACACCACGCCCUUGUCAUCUGCCCUCAUGCAGCGGCGCUCUGGGAGGCUAUGCGAGGGCACUGGGCAUUACCGAGCCCUGCUGACCUGCGUGAUGCUGAGCCAGAGUGGCUGUUCCGCCUGCUUGAUAAAUUGUCGGAAGGGCAGAAGCUUGCUUCAUUGAUGAUCAUGUGGAGGAUUUGCUAUGCAAGAAAUGAGAUCACACAUUAUAAACCCCGAUCUUGAUUGAGGCCUCGCACCAUUUCCUCUCGAGUUAUAUCACUUCCCUAAUCGCAAUACGGCAGUAUCCCGAAGCGAGCGUUACGAAGGGCAAGCAGGUGAUCGAUUACCUGGGAAGCACGUCAAAGAACACACAUGAAACAAUAGUAACACCGCAAUUGAAGGCCCCUGAUGUGAACUAUGCUUAGUUGACUAUAGUUGGUGCUUUUUUGAAAGAGGAUGGUACAGCCGGGGCUGGGAUCAUCCUGCGGGAUCAUGAAGGAGCGGUCUGUUGGAAUUAUGUGUCCUGCAACUAUAUUCAAAUUACUAGGAAUUACUAAUAUUCGGAAUACCUCAUUAUGGAAUUGUACAUGUAUUUAUACAUGGAAUUGAUUUACAUAUUUAGCAUGGAAUUGUUACUUGCUGGAAUGUACUUAAGUGAUAUAUGCUUAAGGAAGCUGGUCGAUUAUCAGUGGAAUACAAUAUACUAUUUAUAUUGGAAAGACUACCCGGGUACACUGAUGAUUGGAAGGAGCUAGAUCGUAUAGUUAGAUUACAGCCCUAACGUUGAUCUACGUAAUUAGAGGAAUUUACACUCUAUUAUGGCGCGUUGCUCACAAGCGCGUUGCUCACAAGCGCGUGCUCCGGGGACAUAACGGGUAGAACCCGUUAACAGACAAAUAUGAUCGUGGUUGGUAAUUUGAUCCCGGAAACUAGUACAAGAAAAACUAGGAAUCUUAUAUCUGUAUAAGAGGUGGACUCUUUGGAAAGACAGUAUAAGAAGGUCCCUACCCCAUAGCCUCACAGAUGCGAAUUGUCAGCGGCACCACGGAUAAGCGCAGAGGAAUUAGGGGGUAGACCGCAAACCCUAAAAUUCUUACAUUGGCAUCAUGAGCAAGGUUCGGUCCCGAUCACCCUAACCCUAAUCCGCUGCGUACCCGAUCUGCUCCGAACUCUGCUCCCGUGGUCGCCGAUUCCACUGUGAACUCGUCUCUGUUUUGUUAUUGAUCUACCCCGACACGUCGUCCGUGGAAACUGUUGCGAUAUCUGCACGGGAGAGCUAGCGCGACGCGUUGGUCCUUCCGGCUUGCGCGUGGCCCGGUCGGUCGAUGUACGACAUGCAAGGAAAUCCAAUGGAACGGAGCGGCCGUGUAAAAUCCGUCCAAGGAAAGCAUCCAAGGUCCAAGUCCCGAGGAAGUCAUGUUCAUCAACACGAGACCAUCAGAUCAAUUGCUAUUGCUACUAGUACUCCACGUGAAAGCACAUGCAAUUCUUGGUCACGUCACAUGGAUCAAGGAAAGAAGGAAGUCAAGCCUGGCAUUGCUACGUACGAGCUAUACAGAAAUCAAUCAGGCUAGCUUCUAUGUGCAUGCGUCGGAAUCUAGUCCGCUACCGGCACAUCCUACAGCGUGUGUUCGUCCGUAUAAUCGCUGAGUCCUUCGCCGUGAGGUCUUCUACUAAAUCUUAACUCAACAACUUGCCAAGCCGAACGAGCAACUGCUCGGAAACUGCAGGUCACGCCCACGCCUGCUGCCGGUCUACCGCUGCUACCUACAUCAUUGAUAACAGCAGUUUUCUCUCUGAAAAACUACUGGAAUUUCAAGGCAAUAGUUAAAGGGGAAGAGAUGGAAUUUCUGUUAUUUAUUAUGCCUAUCAUCAGUCAACUGGACCGGCUGGAAGAACUACAUGCACCUGUGCACGCGUGCUAUGGGGAAGAUAUGCAUAUUACAAUCAUAACUCUUAUCUAUUAAUUAGUUUAUUUUAUUAGAUCGUUGAUUAACGGACUAACUUGUUUUGGUUGCUAAUUUCGUUGCAUGUAAAUCAUAGCAAGGAAUCUACUCCUUGGAAGAAAUUUAGGAGGACUCCAGACAAUAAAUGCAUGAAGACUGAGCAAAUGAUUAUAUACUGAAUAUUGCUAUGAUGGAAAUAUUAUGCGGAAAAUUAUGCAUACUAGAAAGGGAUUUGGGAGAAGUGUUAUUAUUGAGCAUCACUUGUUUAUGGAGGAAAGUGUGAGUCACUCCGAGGACAAGGAAAUUUGCUCUUCAUCUAUCGGUAUGUCUAAUGAUAAUAUUUGCACUCUAAUUAUAUUUAUUGGUGACUAUUCUUUUCAAAUAGUCGGAUUAUGGUGUUUGUUUGUAUACAUCAUAUAUUAUGGAAUACAAUAGCGACUUUGUUUCUGUUGAAACAAUUCCAAAGGAACAAAGAUGAUGUCUACUUAGGCACUAAUGCUAUAUUUGACAUACUUUGGAAUUGAAAAAUAUGUCAUUAAACUCCCUUGUGGAGGAACACCAAUACUAUUAUAGGACACUUGUUCAACUUCAGUGAGAAAGGGUUUGAUUUAUUGUUCUAUCUUGGAAUCUAUUUACUAUGGCAUACUAUUGGAGAAAUGAAGAUUGGAAAUAUUGCUCAGUGGUAAAAUUAGUGCAUUACUGAAUCUCACACAAUGGUCUUCUCUUUAUGGUACAUUGGAAGUUAGCGACCCAAAUUGUUUAUUUGGAAAAGACAACUCCAUAUGGAGGAAAACUGACAAUGGGAACACAUGCUUGGAAACUUUUAAUUGAUGCUACCUAUGACUUGGUCAUAUAUCUUGGAACAUUGUCAGGUGGCUCAUUAAUUAUGGAAUUCUAUACUUUAGUGGGAGGAAUUUGGUUUUAUGAAGCACAUAUAUAAUGGUUUUUCUGACUUGCAUGCCUUUUCUUAAGGUGGAAGAAGAUAAAAAGAUUCACAUCAUUUUCUUUUCUUCUGAUAUCCUUAUAGUUUUUCUUUGCACUCCCACUAGAAGUCAGAUUAUUUAUUUCAUCUCACUCUUCGAUGAUUACACUUUUAUAUGGUCAUACGUUUAUCUUUUAUAUACAAGUCGGAAGGUUUUAUUGUGCUGGUCAUAGGUUAUACUGAAGUGGAAAAUCAGUUGAGUAAAGAAUAUCCUAGUUUUAACAACUGAUUGGUGGGGGAAGUACACUUCAGGAACAUAUCGUUUGUAUGUAAAGAGCAUGGAACUAAUCACCAUUCUAAUAUACCAUAUACUCCACAAUUGAAUGGAGGAAUUGAAUGUCUUUUAUACUUCCUUAUUUCUUUGGAAAGAAGCAUUGCAUAUUGUCGUUUGUUGAUAUCAUUCUCCGUCUAGCAUAAUCACUUCACCCGAAGGAAAUCUUCUAUUUUGGCAUGAAACUCUCAGUUAAGCGCACACCAGGAAUUUUUUCAUGGUUAUUCUAGUGGAUCAAAGGGUGUUUCAUUAAUUAUAUGGAAAAGGAAUACUGGUGGAAAGUAGGAACACAAUCAUUUUUAUCAUCAAGGGUGGAAUUAUUGACAAUCAUACUAGAAUAUAAUCUUGACCUCAAGGAAACUACAAGUGACACUCCCAACAUGACAUGCUUAGGAUAAGUGGGAGGAAUUAACUUGGAAUGUAAUCUCUGGAUAAUUGUUAUGUGAUUUUUGGGGGGAGGUCACUCUAAAUACUAGAGGAAAACUCCUAAGAAGGCUUAAAUUUUUCAUCAAUGUCAACUAUGAGUGGAAGAAAUGCGGGAAGGAAUAAACUCAAUAAGGAAAUAUAUAGUUUGGGAAGUUAUUAUCAUACCAAACAACCGCAAGCCCAUUGUUUGUAAGCUUUUUUUUGUAAGGAAAUUUGGCUCAUUGGAAUAUUAUAAUAUCACUCUUGCUAUUCAGUUCUUUACACAAAAGGAACAUAUACUUUAUGGAAACUCUCUCUCCUGGAAUAUAGGGAAGAGGAACUAAAGACAUGGUUUGCUAAUUGACUAUAUUAAUGUAUGGUCUUAUAACAAGCUUCACAUCAAUGGAAUAGCAGGUCAUAUGGUUUUUUGAAUGAAGCAAGGCGGUCAUCUACAAAUGUAAGUGUAAAAUAGUUUACAUUAUAUUGUAUACAUUAACAUUCUUUGGUUGUUUGUGCAUUGAUAACUCGCAUUGAUGGAAGUGUAAGCUUGGUCAUUUUCUAACUUUCAUAUGAAAGGAAUUUCUGGAGCUUCCAAUGUUUCGGAGUGGAAAUACAUAGAAAAUAUUUUGAAGUGUUUCUCUAUGGAAAAUUGCAAAUAUGUUAAAAAUACCUUUGAUAAAGGAAAUCAUACUUAGUGAGGAAUUAUAUUUGAACUCCUGAGGAAAAAUGGAACAAUAAAUGGUACUGGAAUUGAUAUGUAUCUUCAUUAUAUUAUCAUACCUUAGCUACCGGAAUUUAUGUUGCAUUCAAGCAAUGGAAGGAAAGACGAGCAGCUAAGGGAAUCUCACACAUCAUAUAAGAUUGUGGAAAGUGCAUCACAACCUGUCACUUGUUCUGAAAUUUAUAUUAAAAGUAAACACAUUGAGGAAGUUAUUAUUCUAUCUACGAGAUGAGAAAUAAGUCCAGGUAUGCAUAUUCAAUUAUUGUUUUUAGUACUAAUAUGGUGCAGGUUCACUGACCGAAGUCAGGAAUUUCUUACAAAGCAUGGUUACUGAUGGAACUUCAUUUAGUGAUUAGAUUUGAUAUGUAUGUGUUUUUAAAAUUUUAUUCAACAUGGUUAUCUUAUACUUGACUCGAUGUCGAAUUAUUCAUAUUAUUGAUAUAUGUGGCUGGAAAUAAUUUAUGUGGAAAUUCACUUGAGGAAACAAAAUACUCAAGGUGCCUAUAAAGGUGGAAUUACACUCGAGGAAAUAAUACUCGAGACGCCAAGGACAGCUAUGCUGGAAUAAAUUAGGCGGAAAUUUAAUGUCUCUCGUGUCACAGCAAGGAAACAUAUUGAAGGGAAGUAUCACUAUAUUUAUAUUUUUGUGGGUUUUCAACAUUGUGUUAAUAUGAUUGUUGAUCCCUUGACUAAGCCUCUUAGUCAGGAGGUAUUUGGCAAGCAUGUUAAGGCUAUGGGUUUACGAAUAUUUGAAUGGUCGUUUGGGACAAGUGGGAGAUGUUGGAAUUAUGUGUCCUGCAACUAUAUUCAAAUUACUAGGAAUUACUAAUAUUCAGAAUACCUCAUUAUGGAAUUGUACAUGUAUUUAUACAUGGAAUUGAUUUACAUGUUUAGCAUGAAAUUGUUACUUGCUGGAAUGUACUUAAGUGAUAUAUGCUUAAGAAAGCUGGUCGAUUAUUAGUGGAAUACAAUAUACUAUUUAUAUUGGAAAGACUAUCCGGGUACACUGAUGAUUGGAAGGAGCUAGAUCAUAUAGUUAGAUUACAGCCCUAACGUUGAUCUACGUAAUUAGAGGAAUUUACACUCUAUUAUGGCGCGUUGCUCACAAGCGCGUGCUCCGGGGACAUAACGGGUAGAAUCCGUUAACAGACAAAUAUGAUCGUGGUUGGUAAUUUGAUCUGGACUCUAUCCCGGAAACUAGUGGAAGAAAAACUAGGAAUCUUAUAUCUGUAUAAGAGGUGGACUCUUUGGAAAGACAGUAUAAGAAGGUCCCUACCCCCUAGCCUCACAGAUGCGAAUUGUGAGCGGCACCACGGAUAAGUGCAGAGGAAUUAGGGGGUAGACCGCAAACCCUAAAAUUCUUACACGGUCAUCUUCGCUGCGACACGGGUGCUCUUUAAUUGUGGUGAUCCUCUGGAAGCGGAGAUGGCGGCCAUGGAUGAAGGGCUUCGACUUGCGCUCCACUGGUCCAAUUUGUCGUUGGUUGUGGAGACGGACUGCACUGAGUUGUUGAAAAUGGUGCAGUCUAAAGAUGUUGAGCGCUCGAGGUAUGUGAACCGGAUCAAUGAGAUCAGAAGGAUUCUGGCUCAUGAAAGGAAGAUUAGUCUAGCUAAAAUCAGCAGACAUGCAAAUGUAGCGCCUCACACCCUUCCUUGUAGGGGGCACUCGCAAUAGCACACAACCUGUUGGCUUCCGAACUCCCCUGUGGAAAUAGCUAGCAUUGUCAUCUCUGAAUGUAAACAUAAUGACUGAUGAAUGAAAAGCUCCUUUCCAGCAAAAAAAACCCGUGCAUGAUAUUCUCAUAAGAGCAUUGCCUGCAAUGUGUAUCGAGUGUGGAUGACUGACAUGAAAAAUGUGCUUAUGCAUAGGCAGAACUUGGAACGUAUUCAUGUUAAUCUAGAAAAUAGAAAAUUUGUUUCAACUGAAUCAAAAAAUUGCCAUUUUGUGCUAAUACUUUAAACAAGUCCACAAUUUUAAAAAAAAUCUUGAAACCAGCCCGUCUUGCAAUUACUAUAAGAAUCCUUGGCGCAGAUAAAUACUUGCCUCAAAUCUCGGUGGAAGGAGGGGAACCACCAUGAUUUUAAAUAGAGUGCUAUAGCUUCGAAUAUAUGUUCUUACUAAAUAAGAUGUUCACAAAUAAUAUGUUUGAAUAUAUGUUCUUACUAAAUAAGAUACUUGCCUCAAAUACUUGCCAACCAUCUCCACAAGUUCUAAGAUAAAAAAUACUUCCUUCAUUCAGUAUUAUAAGAUGUUCUUACUAAAUCGAAUAUAUGUAGACAUGUUGUACUGUGUUUGUUCGCUCACUUUAGUCCGUAUGUAGUUUAUAUUGAAAUAUCCAAAAUAUCUUAUAAUAGUGAGUGGAGGGAUUAGUAAGCAACAUGAAAAAUGCACGUGAGUACACAAAUGUCUUAUAUUAUUGCAAAAAAUGAUAAACUGAACUUGAGUUUUAUAACAAGUUAUGGCAAUAUGACAAGCUCAAGUGACACAUGUAGUAUACUUCCACCCUAUUAUGAGCAUCGGGCAUUGACUGCAAGAAAAUGUUCACUAUUACAAGCUACAAUGUUGUGUUGCAUAUGGAAUUCCUUGUCCAUGGUCCAUUCUCCGUUGGCAGCUUCAGUUUGUAGCUGGCUAGUGGAGAUGGUUGGAUUUUUUUCUUUUCUUUUUGAAGGAAGAAACAUGAGUGAAUUUUGCCAUGCAACAAUGUUUUGUUGAUAUAACAUGUCAUUAACUUGAACUAUUGCCAAACAGGCCUAAACAGAACAUGCACCUACAGCUGCUGCAGCAGCAACAUCUGCAAAUAUCAUCGCCGGGCAACCAUGAUUGGUCCCUGCCCAAGAUGCGGUCGCCUGAGACCAUGAAGGAGAUGGCUGAUCCUGAUCGUCUUGGUAGAGAUGCGACAUCUUCCUCACAACGCUGGCUGGCUCGGUCAGUCCAUGCUGAUACAAGAUGCUCGAGGACAAGGAUCUCACCUGCCGCAGAUACCUGCUAGCAAUCCCAACAAGGUUCCAUCACAUGAAUGAGAGCUCUUAAGUUCGCAGAAAUAAGCGACAAUGAUAAGUUUAAAAAGAAAAGUCCAUCGGUUAUCCGGGACAAGGUUUAAUACUACUUUGUUUUUUUAGCCGCCAAUCAUCUUUAGCUAAAAGGUCUAUACUUAACAACAUAAGCAUCAAUUUAGACAAUAACCAAAUGGCCAUGUGUUGCAAUGCAUUAAAAAGCAUAUUGCUUUUGCAUGACCUGCACACGCCAUACUUGUUUCUAUUGUGUAUCAAACUAAGCUUUACCUCGACGCGCGCAUUGUAGUAGACAUAAAAUUAGUCCAGCAUCACUAUAAUAUCAUAUUUUUCCACUACACCAUGACUAUAAAAAAUGGAAUAAAGAAACAUGAUUUUUUAGUGGAAAAUAUACAUAACAUGACAAACAUAGUGUUUUUUUUUGGUUUCUUAUAAGCUUUCUCACGGCAAAAUAAAUUGCAACACAUGAUACGGCAUGAAGAUGCAGAGGUCUCUCAGUUGGAGGGUGGAGUAUAGCAAUCGAUGCAUGCUAGAUAGCGAGAGCAGCUAUUCUGCACACAAGCUCAUUUGCAGUCGGGCAUGAACAGUAAAUUUAUUUUAAAAAACAAUUCGAAAAAUCUGAAAAAUUUAGGCAUCCAAGAUACUCAUGUGCGCAAGAUGUGUGCAAAUCGUGGUGUUUGCACAUCCGAGGAGCUCAUGUAAAAAAAAUCAAAUUUUGGGUGUCCGAGAAACUUUGAAAAAGAACACUAUUCAUAGCCAAUUUUGGUUUUAUUUUUGCACGAGCUCCUCAUAUGUCCAAACAAUCUAAAUUUUGCACGCACCUGGCAUACAUGAGCAUCUUGGAUGCCUAAAAAAUUCAGAUUAUUUUGAAGUUUUUACUAUUUUUGAAUUUACUAUUCAUCGAGUGUAGAUGAGCCUAGGCACCAUUUUUAAUUAUCGGCUGGAUAGCAGACUAUAGAUACAUUGAUGUACUGCCUAUAUGUCAUGAUGACAUUUGUGAUUUUACCAUAAAUAUUGCAAUGUUGUACACACACACAGACGCACACACAAACAUGCUUAUAUUUAGGGAAAAUUCGGCCGGUGGCACUAUCCAGAGCCGAUAUUCGUUGUUGCCACAAGAUUUCCAUGAGUUGUGGUUGUUCCAUGAACACUAGCGAAGAAAUUUGUCACAAUCCAUUUUGCGCCAUCUCCAUGACUUGUCAUUAGAUGAGCCCUUGUUGUCAUCUCCUUUGACAUGUUUCCUUCUUUCUGGUAAGCACCUCUUUGUCAUCUCAUCAGUAACGGAGAGGAGAUUCAUUUGACCCUUUGGGAUCUAUCACUUUGCCAUGUCAUCAGCAACAUAGGGAGACUCAUUACACCAUUUAGACCCAGGUAUGUCAAAGGAAAAUAACAUGAUUCGUAGAAACAAUAACUAGCCCACUUCAUUGCAUCUGGUAUGCCACAACCGUCCAAUCCACAUGUUCCUUGCCGGUAUGUAACCUCCUUCCCUUGCCUUCUCCGGCAAUUGAACCAGUCGAGCGGGAGAGGGAUUUACAGGCUCGCGAUGUGAGGCUCAUGUUGCCGAUGUGGACAUCGACGCAUCAAGACAUGAGUGCCACCUUUUGUGAGGCUUGUGUUGUGGUUCAUGCCAGAGAUGCGUGAGUAGAGUGUUUGUUGGGUUUCAAAGAGGGUCAUGCGAGGAGUACAUUUGUGGGGCGGAAUUAUGUGGAGGAAAUGUCAAAGGAGUGGUGCCUGCUUCCGCACCACCAAGGUUACCUGUGAGAUUAUCAAGUGGGCGAUGACGUAAUGACAAGUUGAAGUUUCCUCGUCGAGGAGAAUCUGUGCGCCAAUGAGUAACCAGUGCCAUGGAUUGUGAUGAAUUCUAGUUUCUAAAGUUCAUGUUGCAUCUCACCUCGUCUACUACAACCUUUAUGUGUGGAGAUUGGGUCAUUGGGGGGUGUCAAAGAAGUGUAGAAUCAAUUGAAUCUAGUCUCAACCUAUAAUAACUAGGAUGCUUGUUGUCUAGAUUUCAUGGUGGUGAUGCUAAGUUUUCACUUAUUUUAUUUUUAGUUUGUGAUUUAUCGGUCUUAUUAGUUUGUUUAUAAGUUUAGGGAAGGCAACAAAUAGUUGAUGUCAUCAACAACGAAGAGGAGACUCGUUUGACCCACUUCAGCUUUGGGCCCCACCUACUAAGUGGUAUCACACAAAAACGGUAUCAAUCUAAAAAAAAUACGUUCCUGUCCAUUCCAUUCUGUCUCGUAUGCAACGGGUCUGCCGGUACCAUCCAGUCCAUUACAAUCUUUGUCCGCCACCAGUUCGCCGCUACCUCCCAGUCCCGCGUCCACUGGCAAUGGGACCAGCUGAGCAGUAGACAACGAAACGGGCUCGCAAGGUGAGGAUCAUAUUUCCGAUGUGGUUAUGGUUGUAGGUGGAGGUGAAUGCCACCUUUUAUGAGGCUUGUGAUACAAUUUGCACUGGUGAUGCCAAGGAUCGUUUUCGCUGGAUUCUAAGGACAAUCACACAAGUACGGUUCAUGGAUAUGAUUCUCAGAUGAUGUUGAACUUUAUAGUGAUCGUUAGUUCAACGUCACCGUCCUUGGAUUCCAAAGACGGCCACACAAGCGAUCAUAUGUUUUUCUAAACUUGGUGAUGGUGAUGUUAAACUCUACAAUGACUAGUUGGUUUCCAAUUUGGGUUCGACCACCGAUGUGAGAUUCGGCAUUGCGACUUGGAGCACGCGAGUAGGAGGAGACUCCAUUCACGAAGAGGCGGAGGGGGGCAUGUUGGGCUCUUCCAUGCCCAAGUACCACCCCGCAUGGGUGUUCGCAAGGUUGUCGGGGUUGCGUUGGCCGGCCAUGCGGGAGUGGUACCAGAGCAUUGGGGCAGAAGAGAGUUUUGGGUGGGUUUACUAUUGGGGACAAAGAUUUUUGAGUGACUUGAGAUAGAUUAUCUUUGGUGGUUGACAUGUGGGCAAGCAAGUUGCAGGUCCCAAAUGUCUGCGAGCCCAAAGUCGUAUCCCUUGAGUGAGAGGAUCCAAGUUGAGUGGUAGAGUUUGUGUGUAGGAGAAAAGAACGGUUCCCCACAUGUCAUUGAUUUCUAUUUUAAUAUUUUCCCACUUGUUGAAAUAAACUCAAUUCUUUUUUGCGGGUGAAAUAAACUCAAUUUUGAACUAUACGUAUACGAAAUGAACAGUUAAAAUCACAGAAACAAUAUAAACAAGUACACAUAUACAAUUGUGGACCAUCUGCAGGGAAUGGAUAAAAUAUUUAAUUAUUUGGGGGAAAGUGAAAGUAAGAUUUUGUGUGUGUUUACACACACAAAAAUUGUAGUUGCUUUUACUAAAACUUGGUGUGACGUACUAAUAUUGGUACAUGAGUUGGUCAGAUACAUUUGGGAACAAUACACAAAAUUUAAAUACAAGCUUGUCCACAAAAUGGACUAUCUCAAAUAUUAUUUCAUAACAUUCACAACACAUCUAACUUUAUACCACAUAACCAAUUUCAAUGACCAGUUGAGCUCUUUUUCACUUCAAAAUUCUCUACGUCUUGGUUUAACAUUUGUAAUAAUGAAUGUGAAUUAAAAUCACCAUUUUAAUGUUUAGAAUCUUCUCUAGCUAUUUUAUAGGAAAUAAAAAUGAAAAAAUAUCUUAAUGUUGUAAAAAAUAUGAACAAUUUGGCAACGAAUUGCAAUAUUGAUUCAAUAGCUUAUGAUAAAAAUCCUAGAAUAAUGCAAGUAAGAUAAACAUGAAUUGUUCACCAAGUGGACUAUCUCACAUAGGAACCCAUGCAAAUAGCCACAUAAACCAAUUGGCUCUUUUCCACUUAAAAAUUUGACUACAUCUUGACUCAAGGUUUGUAAUAAGGAAAGUGAAUUAAAAUCUCAAUUUUUAUGUAAAAAAAAAUAUUUUAGCAUUUUUCUAGCUAUUUAGUAGCUUGUGAUAAAAUUAUGGGAAGGAUGAAAAUAAGAAAAGUACUAAUUGUUCACCAAGUGGGCUAUCUCCCAUAACAUCUCGUGCAAAUAUCUAUUUAACCAAAUCUUGGUGGCCAUUUGAGCUAUUUUCCAUUUCUUGAAUACACCUUGAUUUAAUAUUUGUAAUAACAUGAACUAAAAUCACCAUUUGUUACGUAAAAAAUAUUUAGUUAGCAUUUUUCAAGUAUUUUAGAAGAAAAAAUUAUCAAAAAAGAGUAAAACUUAGCACAAUGUCCUAAUAUUUGUACAUCGGCUUGUCAUAAAAUCUCGCAUGAUUUAUAGGAAGGUUAAGAACAAAUUGGUAAAAAAUGAUUCCUUUUAGCCCAACUAUGACAUCAUUUUCCAAUGGUAAAAUUGGGUUUGUGCCUCUACCUAGUUCGAAUAUUCAAUGAUUACCACCAAAAUUUCAUGAAUUGUGGAUGUCUACUAAAGUUUACGAAGAAAUUAGCCACAUGCCCAUGCUUGCUGUCUUAGUGAGCUGUCGCUAGGUCAGCCCCUCGUUACCCUCUCCUUUGACCAACUUCCUCCUUAUGUUAGGCAGGCCAAAAUUGGGACAUGUGGGUGAUUAUUAUGCCUCUCUCCCGAUGGCAUUCCCUAGCACCCCAGCCCACCAGCCACCGGCAGUCGACACCGUCCCUACUGGCGCCAUGGCUAUAUCUUACCUGCAGCGAGAAGAGUAUCAGUUUCGCCUCUAGUGGUCGGUGCGUCCUCGCCUUACUAGGUCGGCCGAUCAAAGCGGUUUUAGGAAUGUUCAAUGGACAAAUUCCGGCUAGUUUUAGAACCUUCUAGGUGGUUUCCUUUUUCUUCUUUUUCGAGGUACAUGUCUGCCUUUUUCAAUACAUGUUGUAUAUUUUUCGUAGACACACAUAACUUUUUUUUAAUAUACAUUGAAAGUUUUCCAAAUACAUCUUUGACCAUUUUUUUAAUAAAUGUAAACAUUUUCAAAUACACUUUGAACAUUCUUUUGAAUUGUAUGGAACAUUUUUAUGUUACGCUAACAUUUGUUCCACAUUAUAUUAAUACUUUUUCAAUGUCAUGUAUAUCUUUUUGAAACGUGUGAACAUUUCUACAAAUAUCGCAGAUUUUUUUGAAUGGUACGAAUUUUAUUUUAACUUACAGGGCUGUAUUUUCAAAAUGUGAUGAACGUUUUCUAAAAUCACACACAUAUUUUUCAUAUUGUCUUAACAUUGUUUAAAUGAAACUAACAUAUUUUUGAAACAUGCAACAUUUUAAAAUGCCAAGUACAUUUUAUUGAAUGCUAUCAACAUGUUAUAAAAGUUAUGAAAAAAUAAUUUUAUACUGCAUGGACAUUUAUGUGCAUGGGGCGUGUUUGGUUGCCGUGCGCUACAGUACCCGCAUUGCAUACACUUCUCCACCCAACCUGGCUAAGCAAAUGCAGCCUCAAAUGCACCAUCUGCAUGUUGUUUGGUUGCCUGCAUGGGCAGAACCACACUGCCUGGUGUUUGGUUGCCUGCAUGUUAGUGGACAAACCCAAGGCAUGGUGUUUGGUUAUAUGCAACACCUGGUGUGUGGUAAUCUCUUUGGCUAGUUGGUGAGGUUACCAACACACUUCGGCACAACCAGUAGCACAUAUCAUAAGCAGAGCAGAGUAUAAAAAGAUGAUCAACUACUUAAAAGCAUAUUUCAGAUAAGAAGUACCACACUUCAUAACAGUUCUACGCAUAAACCAUAAACAUAAACAAUUCAAAGCAGACUCGAUAGUACUUAGGAGGCCCCGGCCCUACUCCUUGGCGGCGAAGGCUUCGUCGUGCUUCCUGCACUUGUUGACGACCUCAAUGACAUCGUCGUCGAACAUGAUGACCUUGAGGUUGUCGGGAGUGAGGAGCUUGAACGUUACCAUUUAGCCGAUGUUGAUCUGAUGAACGACUGCGUAGGUGGCCCAACCCUGAUCCAAGGUCACCCUGCCGUUCAUCAACUUCAUCGUCACCUUCCAGGAGCAGCCGGUGUUGUUCCUGAGCUUGAACUCCUUCGGCACCGUGACGAAGUGCUUGGUGAAGUCCAGGGGCAUGGGGAUGCACUCAAGCUUCGGUGCAGGAUGACCUUGCAGAAGUGAGUUGGGCCAUCCUCCUGAUGGUAGUGACCAUAGUUGCGGCGCUUGUUGCUGGGGGCUCCUCCAUGCCCUUGUCGUCGCCACCCUCAGGCAUCUUCGGGUCUUCCUCGGCGGUGGGCGGCAACACAACCUCGUCGGGCAUUGGGUGAAGUGGUUGCUUGCCCUUGUUGUCAACGGUCGGGAGCACCUCCAUGCCCAUCUCAUGGCUCUCCUCGAUCUGCACAUAAUUCAUGGAGUCAAGCACAUCACAGAUUUCAUGGCUAAUUGAAGAGCAUGUAGUUAAAACAGCAUGACUGUCACUCUUCUCCUCCUCUCCAUUCCCCCUAUAUUUACUCACCCUACCCACCACUACUUACCCACCCCAUCUCUUCUCUCACUGUCAACCUUCCUCCUCCUCAUCGCCAUGAGCUCUAGCUCCAGCUCCAACACCAACCCCUUCCCUUGGGGUAUUGGAUGGAGGGCCUUCUUCCUCGGGUGGACGGAUGGUGACCAAACCAAGUUCGAGAACACCAUGAAGGUGUGCUCGAACUUCGGCUCCAUGCCUGAGAUGCAGAAGGAAUCUAAUGCAGUGCUCAUGAAGGUCACUGCAGAAGAGCCGAAGACGCUGGUUCCUGACCCAGCGAAGGGCGCGAUGGCAGUUGACAUCAUUCGCGGGGCCAUGAAUCAGGCCGUCUCCGACGACACUAAACAGAGAAAGAAGUGGUGCAAGUACAAGACCUACUGGGCUCCUAAUGACCGCCGUGCCGCAGUGCACUGGGAGACGGCUAUCGCGCCGCCGGCGGUCAUCGGUGGGGAGCCUAAGGAGGAGGAAGAAGAAGCGGUGUGAAUGCCAGCAAGGGCGCCGGGGCCAGGCCGUCGUAGCUGGCAGAUCGACCUCGACUCUGCCGAGGAUGACGAUGACGACCCGUCGGCCCGCACGGCGAUGAAGAAGAAGAUGAAGGCCAGCGGCUCGACCAGCCGCUCCGCACGCCGGUGACGACCGCCGCGGUUAGCCGGUGUCUGUUGUGUACCCCUUAUCCCCCAAUCCCCCUUCUGCAUUCCGAUCUUGCAUCUAUGAACUCGUAUGAACUGCUAUGAACUAGUAUGAACUACCCCUAUACUUAUCUACCUAUAUUCCCCAUUCCCCUCCGCCGUGGAUCGAAUCUAUCACCGGAUCGAACGGGAUAAAGUUUUGCAUGUCGAAGAGAGAGAAGUGCUUACUGCCAUUGCCGCGGUCCAACUGCUGAUCCGCUCGCCGGUGAUGGAGUCCGAUGGUCUUCUUCCUCUGCUCCGAUCCGCCGCCGCCGGUGAGAGUUGGGACAGUAGGGAAGAGUGGGGAAUGGGAGCGGUGAGGGGCGGUGAGGCUAAUAACUGCUGGCGCUUCGGGAAGCAACGCGGCUUCUCAAGCGUGGUCGCACGCGUGCAGCCGCCGCCGCCCACGUGCACCGCUCGGGGCUGGCCCUGGAGAAGCUGCCGAUUCAUGCGUUUCCAGUGAGCCAGGUCCAGAGGUGCUUUAAGUUUCGUGUUGUGCAGGCCCAAUAGUAAAAUCAGGCGUCCAAACAGCCCGUUCCCUUCCCGUGCGGGCCUGAUUGGGCCAUAUGCAGGCAACCAAACAAGCCCAUGAUGAAUGCUUUUAAAAUUUUAAGUAAAUUAAUUUUGGGGAAUAUAUGUAUUUAUAAUAUUUCAAAAAUAUAAAAAAGGAAACGAACGGACAAGCAAAUCUACCUGUCCUGAAAGAACACAAGAUGAACAUUUAUAUGCACUCAAUGAACAAGAUGCUGCAGUCAGGCAGGCACAAGCUCUUUCUCACGGGCACGCAUCUGAAGGAACACCCAACCCCUCAAAAAAUGUGUAUGAAAAAAGUAGACAAGAAAACAUAUAUUUGAAAAAAGUUAUUCAGGUAUUUGAAAAUGUUAAACUUGUUUAAAAAUGUUUCAUAUGUAUAAAAUAAUUAUAAUAUGUUGAAAAAUAAACAUCAAAACGUAUAUUGAAAAAAUAUUAAUCUUUAUUUGACAUUUUUAUAGAUGUAUAAAAAUGUUCCACAUGUAUACUCAAAAUGUACACUGUGCAUGAAAAAAAUUAGACAUGAAUGCAUAUAUUUUAGAAAAUGUUAGUCAUGGAUACUAGAAAGGUUAAACGUGUAUAACAAACUUUUUGCCAUAUACGAAAAAUGUAGAAUUUUAUGAAAAAAGUAGACAUAUAUAGAAAAAAUAAUGAAAAGGAACAAAAAAGGAAAAAACUAGAUGAAAAACGAAAAAGAAUCAAGAAUGAAACAAAGAAAAUGAAAAUGAAAAAAAGGAAUAGAUAAUACUCCCUCCGUUCCUAAAUAUUUGUUUUUCUAGACAUUUCAAAUGACUACUACAUACGGAUGUAUGUAGACAUAUUCUCGAGUGUAGAUUCACUCAUUUUGCUUCGUAUGUAGUCGCUUGUUGAAAUGACUAGAAAGACAAGUAUUUAAAAACGGAGGAAGUAGUACUGAUAAAAGACCCUCGUAGAAGGAGGAACUCAACUCACACAUGAAAGGAAAAAUCCAGCGAGCAUACGCGAAUUGAAAACUCAGAGAAGGAAACUCACUCGAGUGUAUGCGUAAUGGGCGGCGACCCACUUGUGAGCGAUUGAUGCGGGCGCGACUUGUAGCUCUCAGCUGUCUCGCGGACGCGUCUAUGGCCCAGUUCUUUUCGGCAAUUCUCCUAGAAUUGCUCCUCUCCUCAGCUUCUCUCAGAAUCAGCACUUUAUAUUUUUUUUACAAUCCUAUCUAGUUAAGGUCUAAUUAAUUAGGAUUGUAAAAAAUAUAUUGAGUGAUGAUUAUGAAAGAAGUUGGGGAAAAGGGCGAUUCUGGUAGAAUCGCCAAAAAAACUGGCCCCAUGUCUCGGUGGCAAGACAGAAAUAGUACAUUACUGUAGGUUUGGUCAUUUUCUUUUCUAACGUUGUUACUUGUUCCCGGGAGGACUUGCCGUCUUGGUCCCCCAGCCGAGAUGUGAGCACGGAAGAGCAUCUUCAGCAUGCGCCGAAGGCGCCGCGUGCUAAAAACUGCUUUGCCGCGCAUCCAUCGCCCAAUUUGACGCGGCGCACAGCGAUGACUCCAGCAGCCGCGCUAAAAAGUAGCGCACACUCAUUUUACAAUAUUUUUUUAGUAAAAAUUGCAUAGAUAAAAAACGAUACAAAGGUAUUAUACAUCGGUGCAACUAGAUAGAUAAAUCGAAAACAUAGAUAGAUAGAACUACGGUGCAACUAGAUAUAAACUACUACGGCAUACAUAGAUAGAAACUACUCCAAGUCGCUACCAUUAUCACCAUCAUCAUCCUCGUCGGUGUUGUCCAAGGUAUCGAGCCACAUGUCGUCCCAACGUUCAUCGUUUGACGUGAAGAUCGACCUCCCACCUGCUACAACAAUAUUGGACUGCGCAUUCGCCAACGCCUUCCGCCGACGCCGGUCCGCUCGCUCCGCACGGCGCCUUGCCGUCAUCUCCUCCCAGUAGGCACGCUCGUCGGCGACGUCCUCCGGUUGGCGACGGCGCCACUCCGCCAUGGCUCGCUCGUCCUCCUCGGCGAUGAGGAGGCGGCGCUGCCGCCGAGCGUGGUCGGCACGGUCCAUGUCGGUGAUGAGACGCGGCGGAGAGGCGACGCGCUGCGCCUGCUCGCGCCUGAAGACGUCACGGAAGUUCAUCUGCGACCGAGGCCUCUCCAAGCGCCACGCCGCCACGUCGUACGCGCGGGCCGCCUCGUACGCGCGGGCCGCCUCGUACGUGCUCCGGAACGACCCGAGGCCGAGCCGGACGUCGCCGGCCCGGAUCUCGGCAGAAUACUAGCCGUUGAGGCGCUCGCGGAUGCCGCGGUAGCCCGAAGAACCCUGGCGGCAAGGUGGCGCGGUGGUGGCACGGAAAGCGGCGAAGCGGCGAGGUUGCGAAGCGGCAGAAUACUAGCCGUUGAGGUGCUUAUGAUGUAUACAAAAAAUGUAGAUCUGUAUCACAAAAAGUGUACACCAAAACAUAUAUUCGAAAAACAUGCCGAUCUUGUAUUUGAAAAACAUUAAAGGCAUGUAAGAUGUGUACAAAAAAGGUAAAAAGUGAAACAUAUAUUCAAAAAAGGAUUUGAUCAUGUACUUGCAAAGUAUUUAUCGUAUAUAGAAAUGUUUUGUGGUGCAUUUGAAUAAUGUACAAAUGUGUAUAAAAAAUUAGACAUGUGUUGGGGAAAAAGGCUAAAGAAAACCAUGAAAACCAAAGAAACAAACAAAGAAAAUGGAAGAAAAAACAGAUAGAAAAAGGAAAAGGAAAAGGAAAAACCGAAGAUCUCAUAGUANNNNNNNNNNNNNNNNNNNNNNNNNNNNNNNNNNNNNNNNNNNNNNNNNNNNNNNNNNNNNNNNNNNNNNNNNNNNNNNNNNNNNNNNNNNNNNNNNNNNNNNNNNNNNNNNNNNNNNNNNNNNNNNNNNNNNNNNNNNNNNNNNNNNNNNNNNNNNNNNNNNNNNNNNNNNNNNNNNNNNNNNNNNNNNNNNNNNNNNNNNNNNNNNNNNNNNNNNNNNNNNNNNNNNNNNNNNNNNNNNNNNNNNNNNNNNNNNNNNAUCGCCGCUGCUGAGUCCCACCUUUGAUUUUGGCCUUGACAAAAGUUCACCACUGUCGGGAUGUGGAGUUCCGACAAACCCUUAAGGUUCGAACACUGGGGUGCGCGCGAAGUCUUUCCCUCCAACCGAUCUACGCUCAAGCUCGCUAAGAUCUUGCGGACGAACUCGACGAACUCACAACACAGAAAGACAUGGGAUUUAUACUGGUUUGGGUCAUCGUUGUGGUGUAAUACCCUACUCCAGUGUGGUGGUGGUGGGUUGCCUCUUGGGCUGAUGAUGAACAAUACAAGGGAAGAACGGCCUCCUGAGGUUGAGGCGUUCUUGAGCUCGGUGAGCUUGUGUGUGCGGGGGUGGUCUUUCUCGAGCUAAGAUCCCAUCAGGUCAUCUCAUCCCCUACUAUUGUGGUGGCUAGACCUAUUUAUAGAGGCCCUGAUCCUCUUUCCAAAUAUCGAGCGGGAAGGGAGCCAACAAUGGCGGGCUAAUUUGAAGGGGGACAGCUAGUACAAGCUAUCCUGACAAAAGUAGUCUUCGCCUGCACAAAGUUCUGGUGGUGACGCUUUUCUGGGCUCCACGAUGACCUCCAUCUUGCAGGCCAUGGUCUUUGUCUUUUUGCACCGAAAUGGCAACCUUUGCCUGAGGCCUCAGUACUUCGCGGCUGCGCUUGCCCCCUUUGCACCAAAGAGGAAACAAGGACGCUGUGCGUGCUGGCACCUGCCUGGCACCCGCCUGGUGUCGAUCGUCAUGGCUCAUGUCACGAGAGCCUCGUGAGGUUCGCCUCGCCUUGAUAUCUCCGCUCCUCAUGAGCCUGCCUGGCUAGGCCACUCCAGAGGAGGUCUUGCGUCGUCCGCCUCGCGAGGCUUGGCCCCUCGCGAGGGUCUUGGGCGCUUUGUUGGUGAAGAUGGGCCGUACGGCCCGCUGGCUCAGCCACGCCGCGGGCCGCAGGCAGGCAAGUCUGGGAACCCCCGUUCCCAGAACACCGGCAGUAGCCCCUGGGACCAAGGUGCGCCCGAUCUAGGCUUUGUGGCGAAGCUAAGGGUCAAGUUCGCGGCCCCAAAAGCCUGCAGCCUCGGUUGACACGUGGCGGUUGAUUGGACGUGGGCGUCUCCACUUCCCCAUGUUGUUUCCGCAACUGCUUGACCUGACAAAAGGCUGGCGUGGGUGCCACUUGCCUUCAUUGCUUCUUCCUCGACUCGCUCGAGAUUCCCUUUCUUGCUCUUCGCCCUCCGCUACCUACAGAUCUGCUCCGGCCUCGCUCUGCAUCUGCCGCCCAUGGCGCCGCGCAAGGUCAAGACUUCCUCGUCCCCGGCUUGGUACGAGCCCGCUCUUGAGGCACCCACUGUCACGGAGAAGAGCCUUGCCUCCGUGCGCCUGCUGACGGUGGGAGAGAGCAACGAGUGGGGGAAGACGGAGCUCCGGCUUGCUUCUGACGAGCCGAAGCCUGAGGGGAGCACCUUCUUCCCCUUCUUUUCGAGCAGCGUUGCCGUCGGGUUGGUUCCUUGUAACACCCACGAUGCGGCUAUAUCUCCCACAUGUCGGAGCACGACUUAGAGGCAUAACCGCAUAGUAGGCAUGUCGCAAGAGGGGUAAUCUUUACACAUCCCAUGUACUGAAUAAGAAAGGGAUAAAGAGUUGGCUUACAAUCGCCACUUAACACAAUACAUAAAUAUAGCAUUACAACAUCCAGAUACAAACAAGGUCCGACUACAGAACCAAAAUAAAGACAACCCCAAAUGCAUAGGUCCCCGAUCGCCCCAACUGGGCUCCACUACUGAUCGAAAGGAAAGGAAAACAACACAACGAACACGAUCUUCAUCGAGCUCCCACUUGAGCUCAGCUGCGUCAUCUGCACUGGUAUCAACGACACCUGCAAAUGUUUUGGAAGUAAUCUAUGAGCCAGAGGACUCAGCAAUCUCACACCCGCGAGAUCAAGACUAUUUAAGCUUAUGGGUAGGGAAAGGUAGUGAGGUGGAGCUGCAACAAGCACUAAGCAUAUAUGGUGGCUAACAUACACAAAUAAGAGCGAGAAGAGAAGCAAAGCCACGGUCGUGAACUAGAAGUGAUCAAGAAGUGAUCCUGAAACUACUUACGUUCAAGCAUAACACCAAAACCGUGUACACUUCCCGGACUCCGCCGGAAAGAGACCAUCACGGCUACACACGCAGUUGAUGCAUUUUAUUUAAGUUAAGUGUCAAGUUUUCUACAACCGGAUAUUAACAAAUCCACAUCUGCCCAUAACCGCGGGCACGGAUUUUGAAAGUUCAAAACCCUGCAGGGGUGUCCCAACUUAGCCCAUCACAAGCUCUCACGGUCAACGAAGGAUAUUCCUUCUCCCAGGACGACCCGAUCAGGCUCGGUAUCCCGGUUACAAGACAUUUCGACAAUGGUAAAACAAGACCAGCAAAGCCACCCGAAUGUGCCGACAAAUCCUGAUAGGAGCUGCACAUAUCUUGUUCUUAGGGCACACCGGAUGAGCAAGACAUUGGGUUGGCAUAGACCCUGGUUGCCCAGGGGGCACGGGACGUCGCUCAGGUUGGACCAACACUUAGAGAAGCACUGGCCCGGGGGGUUAAAAUAAAGAUGACCCUCGGGAGCGCGACUCCCAAGGAAAAAGGUAGGUCGUGGUGAGGCAAAUGGUAAAACCAAGGUUGGGCCUUGCUGGAGGAGUUUUAUUCAAAGCGAACUGUCAAGGGGUCCCCAUAACACCCAACCGUGUAAGAAACGCAAAAUCAAGGAACAUAACACCGGUAUGACGGAAACUAGGGUGGCAAGAGUGGAACAAAACACCAGGCAUAAGGCCGAGCCUUCCACCCUUUACCAAGUAUAUAGAUGCAUUGAAUUAAAUAGGAGAUAUUGUGAUAUCCCAACAUAUCCAUGUUCCAACAUGGAACAAACUUCAUCUUCACCUGCAACUAGCAACGCUAUAAGAGGGGCUGAGCAAAGCGGUAACAUAGCCAAACAACGGUUUUCUAGGAAAGGUGUCUCUUGUCAUGGCAAUAUGGGAGGCAUGACAUAGCAAGUGGUAGGUAUCGCGGCAUAGGCAUAGCAUUAGAGCGAGCAAUUAGCAAGCAAAGAUAUAAGUGAUUUCCAGGGUAUGGUCAUCUUGCCUGAGAUCCCGCAAGGAAGAAGAACGAGUCCAUGAAGAAGACAAGCGGACGUAGUCGAACGAAUUCUCACAAACGCGACGUUAACGGAACUAACCUGAAGAAGCAACACCGGAAAGAAGCAAACAACAUAGUAAAUAACCAUCACAUAAACAUGGCAUGAUGCACAACCAAGUAUGAUGCAUGUCAGGUUUAAAGAAGCAUGACAUGGCAAUAUGCAACAAACAACACUACAAAUUAAGUGGAGCUCAAUAUGCAACGAGUUGCAUAUUGACGGAACAUCCACAUUCAAGAUAUUUAGUUCGAUCUCGUUUAUGUACCCAACAAUAUUAAAUGUUGUUUAACAUGGCAAGGGUGAAGCAUAUGAACACUACCUAUCUAGGCAAGUUUAAAUGAGGCCAGAACAACAAACAACAAGUCCGGAAACUCCCCAUGUGCAUAUUUUAAGGUUUGGUACUGUUCUGCCCUAAACACAAUUUUAGAGUUAUCAAACAUACAAAGUGAUGCCACCAUGUUAAACUAGGCAAUUUUCUACCCCAUUUACAUAUAAAGUUUAUUAGGUUUGGAGCUACGGUGAUUUAGUUAUGAAUAAAACCAUUUUAGCAUGUUAUUUAAGGAAAUUAAAGUUAACAUCAUUUUAAACAUCUCAAACAUGGAUGAAAGUGGCAAAUUAUUGGUCUACACAAAAUUCUAAGCAUUUUACAUAUAUAGAACAUUUUAAACCGAUGCACGGUUUGUGAGUAAUGAUAUGCAUGAAGGCUAGGGGGUUUUCUGCAAUUCUGAAAAUCUACGGAUAAAUUGCUAAAAUUGCUGGAACAGGAAAAAAAAACCCAUAACGGGCCAAAUCUGCUGGACUGGGCCACAACAGGAGCAUACAGAGGGCGGGGUAGCUCACCCUGGGCCAAGGCCCGGUCCAGUGGAAGCAGCAGGUCGGCGGGUCUAGCUGGGCCUAGGAGGCGCUGGGCCUAAGCGAUCUGAUACGGGAGACCCACAGCGAGGCGCUGGACGAGCAGGCGGUCAACGGGGCUGGAGCUCUCUGCUCGAUCCCGAGCUCAUGCACGAAGACACUUCUCGGGCGCUGCAGGAACCAGCAGGCGCGGCGGCUCCAGGGACAUGGCAAGGAGUCCUAAUGUUGCUUUAGUAGUUUGUGAUAAAAUUACGGGAAUAAUGCAAAUAAGAAAAAUACUAAUUGUUUACCGAGUGGGCUAUCUUCCAGAACAUCUCGUGCAAAUAUCUAUUUAACCCAAUUUCGGUGCCCAUUUGAGCUAUUUUCGAUUUCUUGAAUACACCUUGAUUUAAUAUUUGUAAUAAACAUUGUUGUGCAGUUUGCUUAAUGUUCAAUAAUUGUGCUAUUGGUUCGGUCUUACGAACUUCAGUUGAGAAGAGAUAAACAUUAUUGUUGUGCAGUUUGCUUACAGUUCAAUAAAUUGUCCUCCUUCAUUGGGAGUACAUGCUUUUAGUUACCAAUUAGACGUCUGAUCGAAAUUAGAAAUUUAACACCACAAAUUCUGGGUAGAUUUUCCAUUCUUUUUCACUAAUGGAACUGCAAAUGUGGAAAUAUUUAGAAAAGGGAAAUCAAUAUUGCUCAACAAAUUAUACAUUUUUAAAAUGAAUGUCUUGCUGAUGGAAAGGUUCAGUGGCCUAUAUUUUCCACCAACCCAAAUUAGUUCACAUAAUGUGUUUCAGUUGAAAACUUAAUGAUGCAUCCAUUUGUGAUCGUUUCUUCUGGGUACUGGAUUAUUUGUAUGAUGCCUCCAUGCAUUCUAUCAAAUUCAGUAGGAAUAGAGACGCUAAUUAGUUGCAGCUCUUCUUAGACAUUGUACUGUACCCCUUCUCAUAAACUUGACAUGUUGAUAGCCAAAAAAUUAUUUUAUCAUCAAGGAAGCUAGCAAAUUAGAAUUCAUAAGGUUGAUAAUAAUGGAGGAAUUUAGAAUACAUAAAAUUGGUAAUAAAUUGAGGAAUUCACUCAAAUUAUAUUAUUUAAUAUGGAUAAACGGGAAACUGUAAUAUGAUAUAUUAGUCAUAACAUUGAAAACUUAGUAAGUACGUUCUUACGCUAGCCGGUGCAGAAGUACAGGUUGAUGACUAGUUGAUCUAAACAGCAGGAGGGACGCAACAACAUCUCCAAGUCACGGCCCAAUCUCAAACUCCACCGGCAACACGGAGAAAUCACGGUCGCAUCUUGAUGGUUGGCACAGAGAAGCUGAGCGCACUUAGUGUAGAAGCUUUGAAGGUUGCGCCGGCAAAGGAAAGGACGCCGUAGAAAAGCCAACUGCCGAUGUCUAAACUCUAAAUGCAGCGUCACGAUCCGGGGAGGGAGCGCACUGUCGUUGCGAAACGAGCGAUUGAGAGAGAGAUGCGAGCGAGAACGAUGAACACAAACUGGAGAGAGAGUGGCUUUUCCUCUGCGCAAACCUCGCAGCUUUUCUGUUAUCUUUCUCUUUCUCUUAUCUUAGUUACAUUGAGUUAGAGAGAGUGGGUUUUCCUCUGCGCAAACCUCGCAGCUUUUCUGUUAUCUUUCUCUUUCUCUUAUCUUAGUUACAUUGAGUGAAAACAACUACUAGCUAACCUCCCGGCCUGCUCGCUGUGAUCCGGUGAAGUCGCGCCAUCCCACGACUCCUCCACACGGUGAUAUGUGCUGACCGGGAGAGAAACAAUGAGAAAGGAGUGCGUGCACUGUGCACGUCUCCAUUACGUGCGUGCAUGCGGCUGUCGCAUCAGGCCCGUGCACACCUUAUCCAAAAUAUUAACGUGUGCAUCAAGGACGCCUCCCCGUGAUAGCCCCGUCAUCACAGGUACGACAAAAGACGGUAGCGAACUAGCGAUUGGGCAAGAGGGAAAAGGAGAUCGGGGGUCACGCCACACGCAUCCUUCUCUCCCCUCCUCUCCCCCAGAAACGAGAACUGCUUCUCGUCAUUCCCAAUCCGACCGCCGCCGCCGCCCCAACCCCAACCCCACUGCCGCCCCAAUCCGACCGCUGGCGGCCUCCUCCUCCCCUAGAGCCGCCGCUCCAGCCCUUCACCUUCUAUCUCUAUCCCAACUCUAUUCCAAGGGAAGGAAAGCCCCGUAUCACGCGACAAGGUGAGGGGGCGCCCAGAUCCGCAGCGGCACCACCGCGCCCUCGUCUACCUGGUCCUCGUGGUCGGCCAUGGAGGUCUGACCCGACCCAUGGAUGGAUGGGGGCGAAACCCUAGCCCCACACCCACCCAUGGAUGGAUGGGGAUCGGGCGACGACGGCGGCGGGCUUUUCUCGGUGCUUGCUGAUGUGGUGGCCCUCGACGCCGGUGAUGGGUUGCAGCACGUAGACGCUAAAGGUACUUACGCCCUCCAUCCUCCUCCCCUCCCCUCUUCUUCUUCUUCUUCUUCUUCUUCUUCUUCUUCUUCUUCUUCUUCUUCUUCUUCUUCUAGAUCUCUCAAGCUGAUCCGUGCGGUUGGUUUGUGCAGACUGCGGGUGUGAUGGAGGAGCACCAUGGCGGGCGUGCAGGCCAUCUUUCCCUACCAAGUGAGCCCAAUCCCUUUCUUCUCCUGGACAGCUACGAAGAAUUGAAAUUUGUUAAGAACCUGCAAUAGAACCAAAAGAAUGAUGCAACUACUUUGGUGAUUCCUUUUAAGAUGUCAAUGGGACAUGAGACAAAGAUAACUUGUCAUUUGAGAUGCCCCUAAUUCAAUUUUAUAUCGUGUUGAACUUUCUCAAACUAUUAUGUAUAUCAUUUUAGUAAUUGAGCUAAACAAACUGCCAUGGUAGAAUUUACGGGCGUGGCGUCAUGACCGGGCGCAGAAGAAGGUAUGGCCCGCAUCUCUCUGUAGGUUGUACUUGGGGAAAAAACUGUAGCUCGCGUGGCGAGAUGCUCAUUACCAGUAGUCAUAGCUGCAGUUUUGGUGCGUCAAGUGGUGGAUACAUUGUUGGCUUGAAUUUUCAUGUCCCCUGAAGGUUCUAAGUGAGUGCUGCAUCAAAGGGUGUUGUUGUGAUUUCCUCGAGGUAUUGAUUAGGGGAGUUAGGUUUACAUGAUUUAGCUCGUUGUUGGCUGGAAGAUUACAACAAAGUAUGAAUGCUGGCCAAUUUUAUAUUUAGUUGCGCUUCACAUGUUUGUUUUUCGGAUAAUUGUUGCUCCUUUUUUUGUGACUAUUGAUUGUUCCCUUUACUAGGAAUAUUUAGGAUGACAAUCGUUACAAUGCUGGGAGUGGGGCACAUCUUAUGUUCAAGAGGGCCGAGAAAGAUCGGAUUUUGGUUGACAAGAUUCUGGGUACUCCUUAGUUUCAGAUGAUGUACUGCUUAUUUUUUGUUACCACUUCAUGUGAUUUAUAUUUUCUUCACCUUGGGCAGGAAUGGUAGAUGUUUUGACCACGAAAAUCAUAGCUUCGAAAAUGGAAGAGGAAGAGUUCACAUGAUAUGAUGGCGUACGUCUAUUUACUGACACUUCAUUUCUAAAUGGUGUUUGUGUUUCUUUCUUCCUUGAGGUUUUUUCAUGAACUAUUUUGCAGGUACUCCUUCUCUCAAUGCUGGAAGAAUACCUGAUCGUUUGGCAGGACGACAAAGAACAGGAAAGAAAACACAAAGGGUACUGUGCAGUUGCAUUUUACUAUCUAAAUUCCUUACGGCAUCUUUUUUGUAUUUCAGUCAAAAGUUUAAAUUCCUCAAAUGUGCAUAACUGCAGGAUCAGAAGAAGCUCCAGGAUUAACUCAAACCUGAGCAGGAAGCUCUCUACGGUUCAAGAAAAAAUUCAUCCAAGACUCAAAAGUAUAAAGAAGUCACCUAGCUAGACACUCAAUUGGUGGUGUAAACCGUAGGGUGUCCAUUGGUGGAGCCACGAUGCAAGCACCCAGAACAGACGUUGUAUUCGAAGAAUGUUCAUGCUGCUAAGAGAAUUGAAGACAUUGCCCGUUUGUCCCCUGGUAAGCCCCUAUCGGUUUCAUAGCUUUAGCACGAGUCUCGAGAUUCACAAUGGGUGGAGCAUCAGAAAAUUAGGGAAAAUAUAAACUCUCUGAAAAAAUAUCGUAUAUUCAGACAUAGAGGCCUGGAUGUGGUAGAUGUUACAGAUAUUAAAGAUAAGUGAACUUCUUAACCAUGUUUUAAUUUAUUAUAAGCAAACAAGUUUUUCUAAUUUACAUCCAACCAUAUUUAGUGGGUUUUAACUAUAGUUAAUUUCUGACAACCAGGCUGUUGUUACGCUUUUCUAGAAUUUGUACUAGGCUUGGGCUUACAGAUUUGUUGAUGAACUUGACUCUAAUGCUUAUACCACUUACCUUGCAGAAAGGCUUUGUUUUAUUGGUGUUUAACCAUCAUCGAUGUAGAGGCAUAAAUGUUCUUGGAAGAUGUUGCUUGAUUUUUGAGCCCAUGUGCUAUGCUAAUAUUUUGUUUGGUGCUUUUUGUGUUCUCCACUAGAAUAACCAUAGCUUGGCUUUCCUGAUGUUAUUGCUCUGAAGUGUCUACCUUGGUUAAAAUCACUUUGUGUUAUCUCAACUUUGUGUUGGUUUCAUGCCAAAUCCUACAGAGCUUUGAUGAUGUUAUGUGCCAAUUUUCUUUUAGAAUUAUACUCUCCUUAAUGUUUGAUAUUUGAUCCUUAAUUAGUAUCUACUCCCCAUGAUUCUGUUGCUACUGGAAGCAUCGCCUUGAAUGUCGUUUAGCUUCGAAAGGGAAAGGUUCCAAUUGGGUUUUUUAUUACUGUUAGAGGGUAGGAUGUUCAACCGUGCAUUCAAUUUUUUUUCUCUGACUCUGUAUUGCUUUACUAUUGCGUGAAUUAUAUUUUUAUCCAGUUUUGCUCCUCUUGAUGAUUGGAAGUUAGCAUUGCUCCUGUUAGAGCAACAGUAUACCAAAGCAAGAUCCAACCGAGCUAAGGAUGUAAGUUCACUGGAUUGUCUUUGAAUGUUGUUUCGCUUAUGCAUUAUUUAUUGUACUUUGACAUGGAUUAGCUUGGCUUUGCAUCUAGGCUCUCUCUUGCUUUCCCAACAACUUCAGAAGAGAUUUUUGGAUCAGGUAUGGUGUAUUCAGUUAGCAUUAUGUCUAUGAGUGUAGGUUAUAUGAAAGUAAAUAAAACCAUAGUUUUUAGUCCUAAAAAAAGAGAGGUAGACUGAAGAAACUAUGUCCUGCUCGGAAACGACUUGUGUACUUACAACUAAAAUUAGAAGAGGUGCUCCAGUUCACUGUGCAUAAGAUAUUAGAGCAUACACAUGAUUAUUCCUUUUAAUAUAUCCCGUUGUAUGAGAAUGGAAAUACAUGUACACAAGGCCAUAUUUUCUGCUUAAAGUAAAGAAAUACAAACCAAACUUUAUCUACUCACGAUGCGUGACACUGAACAUGUAUGUAUAUAUCAACUACAAUAGCAUACAGUUAGUAUCAUGGAGUCAAUUAGUACAGAUAAAUUUAUUGGAAGUUUCUUGGUCUUAGCAAGCGAGCCCAAGUUGCAUACAACAGAAUAAUUAAAUUGUACAAAAAUCAGAUGCAUAUGUUCUUAAUUAUUUAGUACAUCAAUUUAACCAAGGAUCAACAUUAAACUAACCAAGUAGAUACAAUUGACUAUAAUUAGUCCGCUUUUCUAUUGCUGGGUAACCUUCUUAUGCCAUCAUUUUCUGAGUAUUUUUAUGCUGCAGGUAUCAGGUCCAGAGCCGAUGGAGAGAAGCAACAUCAUGAUGCUGCUAUAUCUUAGUGGUCUUUCUUUCACAAUGGUGAUCUGCUUCUUAUCUGUUCUAGGUGUCACUGUCAUAGCUUGCUUGGCAUAACCUUCCUUCUUUUGAUGGUUGUCAACACACAUUUAAGUCACACACACACCAUACAAGGUAUUGAAUAACAUAUCCUCUCAUUUUUACAGGCGUCUUUUUGUUUUCCAGAAUUUAUUGUUAUAGCAUGCUACUUCUAUGUCUUGGAUAUAUAAGCUAAACUCAACUGGAAGUAGUAUUUGCUAAUUAUCUAUUUGCAAUUCAAUUGUUUAGUUAUUUUAGGGGCGUUAGUUCAUUGAUUUAAUGACUUGUACCUUUGUUGUGUACUUUGCAGAUGCAGAGCCUUUGGUAUAUGCAGCCGCACUCCCUUGCCGCCACCUGCUACUUCAAGUCCGUCGACGGCCAUGUUGGAAACUAGGGCUUCUCCAUAGCCCGCCUCAAUCUCCACCUCGCCCUCCUUGCUGGUAUACAUGCAUCUCAUUCAGUCUGUUCGUUGUACAACUUGUAGUGUCCACAAUUCAGAAGUAGGAGUUCACAGAAAACUGCUUCUCUGAAUCACUCAUCGUUCAGUUUCGUUCUCUUGUGGUUAAUUCAAAGAUCCAUUGCCAAAAAUGUGAAUAUGAGUGCAAAUAUGCUUGUCUUUUGAACUCUGGAACUGUUGCCUAUACAUGCCUAUUAUUGCUGAAUAUGAUGGAAAUGUGGAUGUUUAAGAGGGAGUAUUUAUCAGGAAGCAGCUUAUAGGACUUCCAAUAAGCAAGAAGUUUCAUAUAAUUUUCCUGUAUGCAAUAGGAUGAACUUUCAUUUUAUUGGAAGGUGCUAUAGUAUAAAUUUCAAAGACCCACUUCAGUUGUUGCUGUUAUGGAUUUAUAAAUCUUAAACACAACAGUCUUUCGGUGAAUACAUCUAUUGUAUUUUGGUGAAUAAAAUGCGUCAGACAGAUCCCCACUCUUCAGCAGAUCUUAUAUAACAUUCAAAUUGUCUAUUAGCUAGAUUAGUUUCUCACUGCACUUUGUUUCAAUUUUUUUAGUUUGGAUCGAGUGUGAAUGUAAGGAAGAUAUUGUUGUCACAUAGUAAUAAUCCAUCUAUGAGUUACUAGGAGGUAUCUCAUGCAUGUUGAUUGUGCUUCAAGGUACAGUAGUUUGUAGCAUACAAAAUUAGUGGUUCGCCAUGUUGACCCAACUGUGUGAAUUCAUACAACCAAAACUAGGAACAAAGUUUGAUUCGUAGGUAGCUGAAGAAGCGAACAACUUCUGUUCUUUGCAUUGCAGGUUUCCUAUGUUCCAAAAAUUGAUGUGUAUUCAGGCGUGCUAUGUGACGUGUUGAGAGAAUAUGAUGGGAGGAGGAGACACAACACUCCACUCCACUUCCUAUUAUUGCCAUCACGUUGUUGCCACACUUGGGCUGGUUCUAUUGCGCAUGCUUCUUGCUAUUUGGAUUGCAUCGUUCUUAUUAUUUUUAGGUUAGCCAUCGUUUGAAUUGAUAACAGGACAAUGUUAUCAACUCUUUCUUGGCGAGGAACAUAUUUUUGCAGGCCAGGAGGAAGCUUGAGAACUUGCCACCCGAUCUCGCCAGGGCGAUGAGAUGGAGGCCUGCUCACUGCUGCUCUGCUGUUCGCUACACUUUCAAGGCCUCAGGGAGCACCGCCUUACUGACGACCUCUUCCUCAACAAGCUCGUCGUGGAGUGCAUCGUCGGGUCAACUCCAAUGUCCUUUAUUUUGAGAAUUCAUCAUUCACCACCCUGUAGACAGAUCGUUGCUGACCGUCAUUGCCACCUAUAUAUACUCAAUGUAGUGUGAUUCUUAAGGCCGUCAGAGUCGUACAUACGUCGAUGUAGUGUGCUUCUUAUGCCGGUUUUGGACAGUAUCUACAAAGUGUAUGCUAUGAUCAAAACUGGCGUCCCCUUCCUUUUGAACCAGCUAUACAGUUGAUUGCUACUAAACCAAAUUUAAUCUACUUUUAGCUCUAACGAUUUGGUUAUUGUCAUUGAUUAACAAGGUUGUCAGUUAUGCAUGCAUCUGUGCAGCAAAUAAAGAAAAAGACAGCAGAAUGGGCGCUUCCAACCUGACACCGCGCAUGCACUGUUCAGGACGCGCGCCACGGGCGCGCCCCAUCCACUAGUUACAACAGAAAAAUAUAGCAUCCUACGCUGCGUGACGAUGAGCUUAUAGCAGGCUAACACGCACUCGGAGACUCUGAAGGGGCAUACGUCGCCGUCGCCACGGAAGCGAUCAAUGACGGUCGUGGUCGUGCUCGUGCAGUGGUUGUUACUGGGUGAAGGGCAGCGGCCCAUGUGGGUAAGGAGCUCAGCUCAGCUUAAAAAAGAAAAUAAAAGACUCGAGAGGUAGUACCAUCCUUUCCAAAGAAAAUACAAAACCGGAGCUUAACAUUUGACUAGGGUCGCACAAUGACUACCAUAGAGUACAAUAGCAUUCCAGGAUUCCCGCAAAAUAAUAAUUAGCAUUCCAGUUCCAGGAACGAAUUUAAAGAUUAACAUCAUUGUGUUCGUACCAACAAUAUGGAUUUAUAAUACUUAACAAGUACAAAUUUGAGUCCUCGCGGUGUCAUGGGUCUGAAGAUCAGAACUAUGUCCAUAAAUCUGUGAUACAAAUGUGUAAUAAGGAGCAGAAGGCACAAGAAUUAGAUUUGCACAAGAAUAAUCUAUUAAUCUUACAAGUGCAGAUUCUAUUCAAGUAUGCUUCCAGAAUGCCUGGCAUAAAAUGUUCUUGAAUGGAUAUGAAAUCAGGCUUAGGUCAUCAGACAUCAGUUUUCUUCUUCUUCAUUGGCACAAACUGUCGAGCCCAUAGAUGUUUUCCCCUGGUCAUGAACUUGACUCUCAUAUUCCCGUCUAGAACACAGAAGAGUGUCAUCUGUGAGUAAAAUGUAACGUGCGCGUACAGUGGUGGCCUACUUUCGAUUGGCUCCUCUACACUUAUUUCUUCAAUAUCUCCAUAGUGCCUGUGACAUGGAAGAAAUUUUUGAAAAAAAUUUAGAAACUGCAUAUAUAGGCAAAACUAAUGAAAUGAAUUAAAUCUACUGAAUUUUCUCCUGAAAUUCAUUUUGUGUUCCUUAUUAUAUCCUUUCAUGUCUUUUAAGUCAAUUAUAUGUAUUAUCAAAUUUAUCACUUUAACUAGUAGAUUUCAGAUUUUGCGACAUCUAUUGUUCGCCUUCACAGAUUGAGAAGUUGGAGUGUAUUUCUUCACACCUCCCUUUAUGAGGACAUCACAACGGUUUUUCUGGCGCCUAGCAAAGAAGAUAGCAGCAACCUGUUGAGCAUUUUGCAAUCUUCGAUGAGGUUAUCGGUCAUGUUUCCUGUGUGCUGCAAAAACUCUUAGUGCCUACUACCCUUGUUCGUCCAUCGAUCUCAACAGCAUCCUUCUUGAUUGUUCGGAUGUUUGCACUCAAUUCCAACUGCCACACUUAGGUCUUCCUCUGUCAGCGAAUCAUUUGAAAAGCGUGUACAAGAUCACGUGCAAGCGUAUUAAUUAACUUGCAUGGCAUGGCAAAGAAAAACACAUUGGUUAUCAGUCCUUAAUUCACAAACUAUGAUGUUGGUCAUGGCUUUCAUGGAAGACCAGGAUAGGGCAUUACGGUUGGGACCCCCUUGUGACGCCAUUGAUAUGGACCUCUUCUCUGAUGUCACCACGAUGACUAUUGUGUUAAACCCGGUCAUUGCAUGUACGUAGUCUUCUGUAUAUUGUUGUAACUACUUCCUUGCUUUGAGGAUCACAACCACUCUCCACGUUGGCCCUGCGUGCCGUGUAUCAUGGGAGACGUUGGGUGACCGCGGCUAUUUGUACCUCUGUAACUCUUGCCAUAAUCAAUACGACAGAACUGUGAGCACUCUCUACCUUUAGUUUGGUAUCAGUCGCCAUGGCCUUCGAGGACAUCUUCGGCGAGCCCCCAUCUCCGGCCAUCCCCUUGUCCUCCCACGGGACCUCUCCUUCCCUUUCCCAGAGCACCACCGCUGCCCUCUCCUCCGACCUCGCCCCAGUCCUCCUGUCUGCACCCGCUUCCCCUGUCGUACCACCGGCCGACUCCCUCAUCAUCUCCUUCCACAAUGAUCAUAUCUCCAACCACAUAAAAUUCAAACUAGAUCCGGCCGAGAACAACUACAUCAAGUGGCGAACUUUCUUCUACUGCGUUCUCAUGCAGUAUCGCAUGCAAGAUCACGUGCAAGCGUAUUAAUUAACUUGCAUGGCAUGGCAAAAAAAAACACAUUGGUUAUCAGUCCUUAAUUCACAAACUAUGAUGUUGGUCAUGGCUUUCAUGGAAGACCCGGAUAGGGCAUACGGUUGGGACCCCCUUGUGACGCCAUUGAUAUGGACCUCUUCUAUGAUGUCACCACGGUGGCUAUUGUGUUAAACCCGGUCAUUGCAUGUACGUAGUCUUCUGUAUAUUGUUGUCACUACUUCCUAGCUUUGAGGAUCACAACCACUCUCCACGUUGGCCCUACGUGCCGUGUAUCAUGGGAGACGUUGGGUGACCACGGCUAUUUGUACCUCUGUAACUCAUGCCAUAAUCAAUACGACAGAACUGUGAGCACUCUCUCCCUUUAGUUUGGUAUCAGUCGCCAUGGCCUUCGAGGACAUCUUCGGCGAGCCCUCAUCUCCGGCCAUCCCCCCGUCCUCCCCCGGGACCUCUCCUUCCCUUUCCCAGAGCACCACCGCUGCCCUCUCCUCCGACCUCGCUCCAAUCCUCCUGUCUGCACCCGCUCCCCCUGUCGUACCACCGGCCGACUCCCUCCUCAUCUCCUUCCACAAUGAUCAUAUCUCCAACCACAUAAAAUUCAAACUAGAUCCGGCAGAGAACAACUACAUAAAGUGGCGAACUUUCUUCUACUGCAUUCUCAUGCAGUAUCUCGUGCAAGAUCACGUGGAUCGCCCACCUCCUCCCAACCCUGGUGCGGCCUGGCUCGCGGUCGAUCAUCGCCUCAUCCUUUGGCUCUAGUUCACCCUGGCCGACUCCAUUCUCGAGCUCGUCAUGGGCGGCGCCGUUAACGCGUUCACCGCGUGACGCCGUAUCCGAGACUACUUCCUGGCGAACGAAGGCGCCCAGUACCUGAACCUGACGCGUCAGUUCCGGAACCUGAAACAAGGAGACCUCUCCGUCUCUGACUAUGCGUGCCAUCUCAAGGCCCUCGCGGACGGCCUCGCGGAUACUGAUCACGCGGUCAAGGAUCACGACCUCACCAUGCAGCUCCUCCAUGGCUUGGAUGCGCGCUUCGACACCGUCCGCACCAUCCUGGGCGAUACGGUGCCUCUGCCGCAGUUCCACGUCGCUCGCUCCCGCCUGUAUCUUGCCGAGUAUAACAUCAACCUCCGGGCGGCGGAGGCCGGAUCUGCUGCUCUCACCAUCUCCGGCGGCCUCAACUCCAACAACGACCAUGGUGACCGCGGCGAUCGCGCCGACCGCAACGCUCGCGCCCCCCGUUGGGCCGUGGCUCUAGUGGCAACCGUGGCGGCGAUGACCGCGGGCAUGGACGUGACCGCACUGGCGGCCGUGGGCGCGGCCGAUCCGACUCGGGUGGUAGCGGGUCUGCUCCGCCUCAGCCAUCCCCUUGGACCGGGUACUUCGCUCCGUACGGCAUGGCCCUCCCCGCCCCUCGCUCCGGGUAGGUUCCUCCCAACGCUGCCGGUGUGUUCGGCCCUUGUCCCGGCAUUCACUCUCAAGCGUAUCCACUGAUGUUGUCCGGGCCGUCGCCGCCGCCUCUGUCUACACCACCGUUCCAGACCGGCCCGCCUUCCUGGGAUCACGUCGCCCUGUUCCAGCACGCCUACGGCCAGCAGAUUCUUCCUCACCACAGAGCUGACGGGAUCCUCGACUCCGGCGCGGCCACACACGUCACCGGCAACCCUGGUAACCUCUCUACGUUUCGUUCUUUUCCAAAGCAUAAUUCAUCUAGCAUUACCGUCAGUAAUGGUGAUUGUCUCCCUAUCAUUGGCAUGGGUUCUACCACCCUUCCUCCUUCUAACCUUUCCCUCGCCGAUGUUCUUGUCUGCCCUCAUAUUGUCAAAGAUCUUAUAUUUGUUCGAAAGUUAUCUACUGACAAUAAUGUUUCUGUUGAAUUUAAUCCUUCUGGUUUCUCUGUGAAGGCACUUCCAACCCGGAAUGCUCUUCUGAAGUCCAGUAGCGCUGGUCCUCUCUACCCGUUCUAUGGCAAUAAGUCUGUCGAUGGCGCUGCUUUCUUCACCACUCCAGGUGACUUGUGGCACCAGCACCUCAACCAUCCGGGAAAACCUUCACUUGCCUCUAUCUCCAAGGAUUUUUUUCCAGAUUGUAAUAACACUGCCCACUCUCCUUGUAUGGCAUGUCAAUUAGGAUGGCAGCCCUGUUUAUCUUUUUCAUCUUCCCACAAUUGUACUAGUGCACCUUUUCAACUUAUUCAUUGUGAUUUGUGGACCUCCCCGGUUGUAAGUUUCUCUGGUUAUCAAUACAAAUCUCAUAAUUCUUGAUGAUUACUCCCAUUACUCUUGGUCCUUCCCCUUGCGCCACAAGUCCGACACCUCUUCUACCUUACAACGCUUCUUCACCUAUAUCCUCACCCAAUUUCAUACUCUCAUCAAAUGUAUGCAGUGUGACAAUGGCGGGGAGUUUAUCAACACUUCUCUCCGCGACUUCUUCUCUACCAACGGUAUCAUAUAUCGUCUCUCUUGCCCUCACACUUCUUCGCAAAACGGCAAGGCUGAGCGCAUGCUUCCCACCACCAACGACGUCAUACGCACCCUUCUCAUUCACGCAAACUUGCCACCUCCCUUUUGGGUCGAGGUCCUACACACUGCCACACACCUGCUCAAUCGCCGCCCCUCCAACAAGACCACCCCGUACACCCCAUUUUUCCUCCUCAUCAGCGUGCAUCCUCGUUAUGAGCACCUCCGUGUGUUUGGUUAUUUGUGUUUCCCCUAUCUCUAUGCCACCAGCCCUCACAAAUUAGCCCCUCGCUCUAUGCGUUGUGUUUUCCUUGGCUACCCAUUACAGCACAAAGGGUACCGCUGCUUCGAUCUACACUCCCAUCGCGUUAUCGUUUCUCGACACAUUAUUUUUGACGAGACUAUUUUUCAAUACACACCCCCGGUCACAGGCGCAACUACCGCACCAGAUCCCGCCCCUCCCACUCACCUACGCACGAUCCCCUCCGGAAUCCACGCGCACCCACCAACAUUAGAAGCCAGCGGCCCACGCGAUCCGCCUCGCAAUCUGCUCCGCCGCCCGCCUCUUCCCACGCAUUCGCCUGUCUCCCCACCGAGCCGACCGGGCCGGCCUACCCACCUCGCGUAUGCCACACGCCCUCCCCGGGUUCACCCUCGCCAGAUUCGCCUGACCCACCUGAUCCUGCUCCCCUCUGGUCGCCCACGACUGCUCCCCUCGAGUAGCCCCCGCCUGCUCACCUCGGAUCUGCUGCCCACCCCGCCCAGCGACCCACCAAAUCUUCCUCGCCCUCCGUGCUAGCCAUGCCUAGUCCUCCACAUUGUCCUGUAGUCCAUGUUGCUCCACCUGUUAAUUCACAUAAAAUGACAACCCGAGCCAAGCGGGGCUUCGCUCUACCACGCCAUUUAUUUUCCCUCGCGGCCACCCCUGCCAUUUCUCCUCUUCCCUCUCCUCUUACAAAACUGCUCUCAAAGAUGACGCAAUGCUUGAUGAAUUUAAUGCUUUGCUAACAAACGAUACUUGGAGUUUAGUUCCUCGUCCUGCAUGUCUUAAUGUGGUCACCGGGAAGUGGAUUUUCCGUCACAAAUUUCACUACGAACUGCAGCCUUGGGGUCCGCAAAAGAAAAGACAUUGCACUAUCCAUUUUAAAAUUUUCUAUGCAAAUGAACCUAACCAUGGAGAGAGAAUUAUUUUAGUACGAUUGAUGGAUCAACAACAUUAAGAUAAAUUUUGGUCUCUUUGUGGAACACAUCAUUGAUUAUUUUUUCUGCUUUGGGUCAAUUUGCAAGACACUCAAGCGAUGACAACAAGAAUUAAACUAUUUCGAACCUUACUGCUUCGGUAGAGUAGUCAACAUCAUUGGAAUAUUCCGCUCGACUCGACUCCGCAAAGUGUUUAGUUAAUGAAGCCAGAUUUUUGGAAAAUAGAUUGUCGUCUAAGAGAAAGAAACAUUCUUGGCUUAUCUUGCAAGAAAGGGUGUGGAUAGCUAAUAGAUUACAAUUUUGCAAAAGGGCCCCAGACAUUUUAGGUUCAUGAGGCAGAUUUACAAUGCGAUAAAAGUGUUGUUUGGGCUUAUUGAUGUUAACACCGGUGAAUGGGGUUACUUCAACUCAGCAAAAGAUUGGUGAUAUUAUGUGAUCAAGAUCAACGGAAACACGAGGAGGUGGGUCUAUUCCCUCCUCCGUACUAUCUGAUUCGGCUUGUAAAGAGUUGCACCAGAUACCAUUUCCAAGAGCCAAACUAGUGUCAGCGUCUCUUACUUAAUCUCUCAUCAAUUUCCACAAACUCUCUAAAUUCCCACACAUAGUUCGCUGUAGAUACAAGAUACCAAACAGAGCACUAGGAAAUAAAAUGACACAACAUUUUCUAUUACCCUAACCCCCUCGUCUAAACUCACAUCCCCUUCGCCAAAGUUGCCAACACACUAUGAAAAAAAAUACAUGCCAUUAUGGACCACAUGGGGAGUGGAGUUUGGUCACAACUUAAUGCUUUUACCUUUUCAUACCAAAUUAUAUGAAAGCUCUACUUUUCCAAAUUUACUAUUAAUUAUGCAUCACAUACCUUAUGCGUAAACUGUUCAAUGUUCCCGCAUCGCACCAUCCUCGCUGGUAGGCGACCAUUCGGGCCCACCAAACACUUUUCACUACAACUCUCUGAUCCUCGCUGCGUGGCAGCCAGAGAGCUCACGAAGUUCGUGGUGGUGUCAUCGAGAUGCUCUUCAUGUGCACCUCAUUUCAAUAGCGAGUGGCGCACCUACAUUUGACACGAUAAUGUGGCAAUUAACUUUGAAAGUUUGGAUGGAGCACCAUCUCCCUCCUCUCUGCUGCUAGCUAGUAGUGUGUGUAACUAUGCACCCAGCGUCGAUGUUGAAUUUUGGUGCUUUGGACCAGGAUGGUAGUCUAGAUCUAAGACGGUUUUUGUAGCAAACUUGUGGUCCGCACUUGGAGAUCUACUGGUCGACAUUGGGUCUCAUGGUUGCGAACGUAUAGUUGCUUCCUUAUUUUGUUGUGAAGGAGUGGGGUCUCAUUGUAAGUGCCGAUAACAACGAUGUUCUUGGACAUCAAUGUCUUCCCCGGAGGCCUCAUUGAGGUUACAUGCUCUUCUUCCUCAAUUUUCGGGUGAAAAUCAUUAACCCGGAUUGUCGGAGCAGCUCUACAGCCUCCUUAUUUUGUUGUGAAGGCGUGGGGUUUGAAAGUCGGGUGACAGCCCUAGAUGAUGGUCACUGUAGUGUUCUGAUGGUGAAUCUUGCAAUGUGGAGUGCUAGUUGGCUGCUAAGGCAAUAUAGUGGUCUUCUUGAUGAUUGGUCGUUGUUUGUGGGCCGUCUAUGAUGCCUAGGUUUGGGUGUCAUGUUGACCAGCAGUUCCCUUCUCUCCUUUUCAGGGUGUAGCGAUAGGCCUUUAGAUGGAUGGGUGUCGCGGUGCCAUGAAGAUAGCUUUGCUUGACAGUGGUAAGUGCCGAUAACAAUGAUGUUCUUGGACAUCAAUGUCUUCCCCGGAGGCCUCAUUGAGGUUACAUGCUCAUCUUCCUCAAUUUUUGGGUGAAAAUCAUUAACCCGGAUUGUCGGAGCAGCUCUACAGCCUCGUUACAUUGUUGGAGGCGUCGAACUUCGAACUUUUGCUCCUAAUCUAUGGGUCUAUGCAUGGUUGUGAGGCAGUUAGUGGUAGUUGUGAUCACAAUGUGGACUUUGCUUUGGUGUUUGCAAAACAACCCAUUGUUUUUCUCCUCCUUUAUAUUUUGUCACCAUUCCUCACCGUAUGCUCUGGGAGAGAUUCUUUACACGCCGAUGGUAUGACACCCAUAGAGCCAAGGCCAGAGUGCAGGGGCUCCUCUUCAACGACGGGGACGAAUGAGUAUGCAGUGUGAUUUAGCCUUCUUUGAAAUAGAGGUGGGCCUAUAUUGCUUUCCUACACACACACGCACACAAAGUUCUUGAGAGUGAUUUUUUCAAGGUUGAGCUCCAUAGUACCUUCUAUCUAUCUCGUUCGUACCAGAUUCCCUUCCCUCGAGAUCUCAACCAUGACUGUGAUCCAUUGUGAUUAGCAGCAGUACCUCUGUCACCUAUGUUGUCUCCCUGCAUUCUCUCUCCCCCCUCUCUUAAGAAACUUUAAUAUUGUCUCUUAUUCCUUCCCUUUUCUCUCUCUAGUCUUCUCCUCUAUCUCUCCUUUGUUCUCUCUCAGAGCCUCCUCCCAUUUCUCAUCUAUCUCUUUUUUUAUAGAAAAUGCAAUUUCCCGACUUUAUAGAUAAAGCCAAAGGAGAUUCACAACACCGAUUACAACCAUUAAAGAAGUCUCACAAGUUGUUGAACAACCAACAACCAACAAAUCCCACAUGAACAAUUCAAAAACGACACAUAGGCCAACAACCAGGUACCAAAAGAAAACUAGUAAAUGAUGAUCGGAUGUCCACUAAGCUAGAGCCUGCACCCUUGGUGAUAGCGAGUUCGAUGUAGCCCUGAAGCGAGAGCUGAGUAGGUCCGUGGCGUCG
Molecule: long non-coding RNA, 52271 nt
Filed under: Triticum aestivum (bread wheat)
Lineage: Eukaryota; Viridiplantae; Streptophyta; Magnoliopsida; Poales; Poaceae
Description: long non-coding RNA (TAES_LNC003052)
Source: RNAcentral